Molecule: long non-coding RNA, 53444 nt
Filed under: Arabidopsis lyrata
Lineage: Eukaryota; Viridiplantae; Streptophyta; Magnoliopsida; Brassicales; Brassicaceae
Description: long non-coding RNA (ALYR_LNC002019)
Source: RNAcentral
UAAAGUUACGGUAGUAAUUGACUGGACCAGAGAAGCCUUUCUCUUCAAACUUGCUGACGAAGUAAGCAACAUCUUCCUCAGUUAGCCAAGAAGGUAGAGGUAUAGUUUCGCCUUUGGAUCCCCAAAAACUUUUGUCCUUCGGUAUAAUAACCGGUCCAGGAGUUCUAUAAGUGAGUAGUCUCUUCAUGACUCUCUCUGUUCCAACCUCUGCAAUCUCAGCUUCUAUAACUCCAACUUCCUACCCUCCAGCAUCUAACCUUAUAAAUAACUUUUCCUUCAAGUAAUUAGCUACAAGCCUACAAGAGUAUAAAGAACAAACCUGAAACCUGCAGACAUAGUAAUCAUCGCCGUAGAAAGCACGCAGGCGUUCAACGGGCUUCGUGGAUGGAUCGGUUGGACGCAAGAACGGGACACUAAGGUUGAUCAAAGCUUUAACCUUAUCUGGUCGGAAGAGACAAAGGUACCAAGCGAUGAGAGCACCCCAGUCAUGUCCAACCACAAACACCUUCUCCUUAUCCUCGGUCAAGGCGGAUAUGACGGCGACUAAGUCACCUACGAUGUUGAAGCAUGUGUAGGAAGAGAUCUCAGCGGGAGCAUCGGAAUCACCGUAACCACGUAGGUCAGGACUCAGGAGCAACAGCGCGGUAGCCACGAGCAGCGAGUCCGGGGAUCUGGUGGCGCCAUGAGUACCAAAGCUCAGGAAAGCCAUGGAGGAGAAGGACUUUAGGACCAUCGGAGGGACCUUGGAUUGCUACGUGGAUAUCUAUGCCGUUCCCUCUUACCUUCAUGUGCUCCAUUGUUUUUACUUUGUGUGGUGCUGGCGUAAGUAAUCUUGAGUGACUAAUCUUUUAUACUAAAUAGAUUACCCAACACGUCCGACCAAAAAAAAAAAGAUUACCCAACACGUGUUAAUAUUUAACUCAUUUAUUUCUAGAAGAUUUUUUUUUAUUUAUCUCUUAUUUUUUGCUUUUUUUUAAUGAACCUAAAAUUUAUUCACCAAAAUAAAUGUUUUUACAAUAAAUGCAGAUUUGAGUGUCUAAUUUUCAAAAUGAGAAUGAUCUAAAACAGAGAAUUACAAUGACGAAUGUAGUCUAGUGGCUACGGGUGCUAAACCAAUAGCGAAGACUUUCAUCAUACUAAACCAAUAGCGAAGACUUACAAUGACGAAUGUAGUCUAGUGGCUAUAAGGUAUGUGUUCCAACUAACGAUUACCCAUUGAACGAAUGGUGCUGAAACCAUUGCAGAUAUUCUUAUCGAUAAGUCGGAUGAGCUUGGCACAUGGAAUAGGACCUUCACCAUGUCGUCUUCCAUUGCGUUCUCUCCAUAAUGUAUGGAUCGUUAGUUGGAACACAUACCUUAUAGUUCAAAGUUGAAGUUUCUGCUGAGACGUGUUAAUAAGGUGUGGCGUGAGUGAAUAUCAGUUUGUAGUGUAACGAUCGGGAAGGAUACCUCUCAUGUGGGACGACCAAACUUGUGAAGAGUAUGGGCAGAAGAAAAACAGAUGACUCCUUGUUUCCAAGCUUUCUCCACAGAAAACGCAACCGCACCCAUAUUCGAUGACCUGAGCUUGUCACAUGUAGCUACACGAUCAUGGAACGUUAGCCAGGUUAUGAAUGAGUACCUUGGAGUUGAAAACGGCAACCACACUCCUUUAUACCAUUCACACCUCGAGUUAUGCUCUCGUAUCUGCUGCCAAGUGUGCUUCAAUAAGAAUUUAUUCUUGAAUCUAUCAUCUUUGAAACGCCAAAGGAAGCGGUCAGCCUAUCCUGUUCUAGUCAAACGAAUAUUUUCCAGCUGAUCCUCUAUUUGGUUAAGUGUGUUCACUCGGUGACGCCGUCUCCUAUGUGAUUCCAACACUUCCGCAAAAGAGGCGUGAAUAGCCACGCCCAUAUCAAUGGUACCUCGAACUCCCAGAAUAUCAUGAAGCCUCCCUAAAGGACUCCAGAUAUCUUUUGCCUUUUAUGUUCUGUUCUCUUAUCAGUCACCAUCAAGUCUCUUACAAUGUGCUAUUUACCUUAUUAUAACUUAGAAGAAUGUCACAUGAUAUGCACGCAUCCAACUUUAGUAUUAAUACAUAUAUUACAUAGGAUGAUAUAACGAAAUACAUGAGGAUGUAUCCUCAUAAUUCAACUUAUUAUGCAACUUACAAGAAUGAUUUAAGAGAAAACAAGAUUAGAAUUUGGAGAUGAAAUCAAGGAUAAUUUGGAGAAUCUCUUGAGGCUUUUCUUGGUUAAUGAAGUGAGCCACUCCUUCCAUGACCACAGGCUCUUCAAGCAAAGGCACAUCUUCCUUAAACUUGGGACCAUGUAUAUAUUCUUUGACACCAGGCAUAUAGUAGACCAAGUCAAGCUCCCCUAUCACAAACUUUGUAGGCACCUGGAUUUUGCUCCCCACCCAUGGACCCAACAGCUCAUUGUUCCUGCCAUUACAAGACCCAUUCAACAAUUCUUCCUAAACAAUAGGGACAAUAUUUGUCUUAUUCAAACUUACCGGUUAAAGUUACGGUAGUAAUUGACUGGACCAGAGAAGCCUUUCUCUUCAAACUUGCUGACGAAGUAAGUAACAUCUUCCUCCGUUACCCAAGAAGGUAGAGGUAUACUUUCGUCUUUCGAUCCCCAAAAGCUUUUGUCUUUCGGUAUAAUAAUCGGUCCAGGAGUUCUAUAAGUGAGUAUCCUCUUCAUCACUCUCUCUGUUCCAACCUCUGCAAUCUCAGCUUCUAUAUCUCCAACUUCCUACACUCCCCAUCUAACCUAAUAACUAAAGAUUCCUUCAACUUCAAGUAAUUAGCUAGAAGAGUAAAAAGAACAAACCUGAAACCUGCAGACAUAGUAAUCAUCGCCGUAGAAAGCACGCAUGCGAUCAACGGGCUUAGUGGAUGGAUCCGUUGGACGGGAAGAGAACGGAACACUAAGGUUGACCAAAGCUUUGACUUUAUCUGGUCGGAAAAGACAAAGGUACCAAGCGAUGAGAGCUCCCCAGUCAUGUCCAACCACAAACACCUUCUCAUCCUCUGAGGCGGUUAAGGCGGAUAUGACGGCGACUAAGUCACCUACGAUGUUGAAGCAUGUGUAGGAAGAGAUCUCCGCCGGAGCGUCGGAGUCACCGUAACCACGUAGGUCAGGAGCCACGGCACGGUAUCCACGAGCGGCGAGUCCAGGGAUCUGGUGGCGCCAUGAGUACCAAAGCUCAGGGAAGCCAUGGAGGAGGAGGACUAUAGGACCAUCGGAGGGACCUUGGAUUGCCACGUGGAUGUCUAUGCCGUUCCCUCUUACCUUCAUGUGCUCCAUUGUUUUUGCUUUGGGUGGUGGUGGCGUAAGGAGUCUUGACUCUUGAGUGACUAAUCUUUUAUGGUACUAGAUAGAUAGAUUACCCAACACGUGUUAAUAUAAAUUUAACUCAUUUAUCUCUAGAAGUUUUUUUUUCUUUUCUUUUGAUUUUUAUGUUAUGUUCUGUUCUCAGUCACCAUCAAGUCUAUUACAAUGUGAUAUUUAGCGUCAAUAUACCAAACCCCGUACGAGUGCAAUGAAUUGAGAAUGAAUUCGAUUUGACAUUUAAUAAAAAGAUGCGUGGUACACUUUUCUCAGACUUUCUAUUGUUUGUGGAAUCGGGAAUAUAUGAUUUGUUAAAUCGUGGUGUAAUUGUGUGUUUCUUUAGUUGGCAAAUCAUUAACCAAAUUAAUUUAGUGAUUUAUUUGUCUCCUUUUUGUAGUAUGGAAAGAAUCUUAAUUAAUAAGUGUAUUAUAAAGUGAAAAAUCUAAUAUUGUGGUUUAGACUAUGGGGUAUAAUUUGAGAUAAACAUACGAGCAUUCCCUAUAAACUUUGAUCAAUUUACCACACUAACUAUUCCAAGACGCAAGAUGCAAAAGUCACAAUGGUAAACAAUAAUGAUCAAAACACAAUCAGACUAUCAACCAUCGUGACCAAUAUGCACACAAUACUUGCCUUUUGGUAUCAUUGUGACCAAUAUGACCAAUACUAACACAAAAUCAAUACAUUCGAGAUUCAAGAAUACUACUACCAUAAUCUGCAGGAGCAUCACAUACAUUCUACAAGAUACUCCAAGAUGCAUCUACUUCAUGAAAUGAGAGACUUUAUAUACAAAACAAACACCAAAACAGAGAUAAUAAGUGUUUUAAACACACAAUGUAAUGUCCCUAUAACCAAAGUAAAAUCUACCUUUUCUUGGUGUAUGAUGCCGCAUUCUAGGAUUUCAUUCACAUAUUUAGAAUAAUCACGAAAGGCUUAGAGCAUAACAUAAAACAAAUACUCUCAAGAUUCAAGGAAACUACAAUCAUAAUCUGCAGAAGUCGCACAUGUCAAAAUAAAUAUCUACAAGAGACUCUAAGAUGCAUCCAUUUUAUAGAAUGAAAGACUUUAUGAUACACAAGCAUUGAAAACAGAGAGGUUAAAAAUAUUAAAACACACAAUGUAAUGUUCCAAUACCAAAGCAAAAUCAAUACAUUCGAAAUUCAAGAAUACUACUACCACAAUCUGUAGGAGUAUCACAUACAUUCAAAAUAAGUAUCUACAAGAUACUCCAAGAUGCAUCUAUUUCAUAACAUGACAGACUUAUUAUACAUACAAACACCAAAAGAGAGAUAAUAAGUGUUUUAAACUCACAAUGUAAUGUCCCUAUAGCCAAAGUAAAAUCUACCUUUUCUCCGUAUAUGAUGCAGAAUUCUAGGAUUUCAUUCACAUGUUUAUAACAAUCACGAAAGGUUUAGAGCAUAACGCAAAACACAUACUUUCAAGAUUCAAGGAAAUUACAAUCAAAAUCUGCAGAAAUCGCACAUAUGUCAAAUAAAUAUCUACAAGAGACUCUCAAAUGCAUCCAUUUUAUAGAAUGAAAGACUUUAUGAUACACAAGCAUUGAAAACAGAGAGGUUAAAAAUAUUAAAACACACAACGUUAUGUUCCAAUACCAAAUCAAAAUCAAUACAUUCGAGAUUCAAGAAUACUACUACCAUAAUCUGCAAGAGUAUCACAUACAUUCGAAAUAAGUAUCUACAAGAUACUCCAAAAUGCAUCUAUUUCAUAACAUGACAAACUUAUUAUACAUACAAACACAAAAACAGAGAUAAUAAGUGUUUUAAACUCAUAUAGCCAAAGUAAAAUCUACCUUUUCUCCUUAUAUGAUGCAGAAUUCUAGGAUUUCAUUCACAUGUUUAUAAAAGUCAUGAAAGGUUUAGAGCAUAACGCAAAACAAAUACUUUCAAGAUUAAAGGAAAUUACAAUCAAAAUAUGCAGAAAUAGCACAUAUGUCAAAUAAAUAUCUAUAAGAAACUCUAAGAUGCAUCCAUUUUAUAGAAUGAGAGACCUUAUGAUACACAAGCAUUGAAAACAAAGAGAAUCAAAAUUUUAAAACACAAUAUAAUGUUCCAAUACCCAAAGCAAAAUCUACAUUUUUUUAUCAAUGAUAUGUUAGCAAAUAAGUUCAUAAAAUUUGAAAGAUAGAUCAAGGACAGUAAUGCUAUUGAGGCAGCUAAUAUAAAAAAAACAUUUUAAAUUAUGAAUGGUGCUUAGACCUGCAUUUCCAAUUUCUUUAAUUCUAAUAUGUAAAUUUUCACAUGUAAUAAAAUAAUUUUAUCACUGGAAAAUCGCAAAAAGCUUAUAUACCUGGUAAUAAAUUCUGAUACUCUUAGAAAUCUCCUUGGUUGGAAGAAAAAGAAAAAAAAAAAAGAAAUCUCCUUGGCAUCACGGAAAAAUUAACACCUUUUGAGGCACAAACCUGAGCAAAUCAAAAUUAGUCUAUACUUCACGUAUGUGUCUCUCACUUGUGAUUUUCUUAAUUGUAUCAACAAAUUACAAACAAGUUUGAAAAGAAAAUAAACACAUAAACAAAAAGGUUUGAAAACAUAUACCUGUUAAAGAAGUUUGCUACACUUGAAAUCUCCUUGAACACCUUCAAAAGCACAUAUCUGAGGAAAUAAGAAUCUUCCUAUAACAAAAGUAAAUCCAAAACAAUUAGUAAAUUUGUAAAAUUAACCGAUCUACAAACAAAAGUUAAAUUCAUCCCUCAACAUGUAUUGUUUUUGUUCAGAUUAAGAGGAUUCAGAUUUGAUAUACAAAGGAAAACAUUGAUACUCUCUAUGUUCUCGUCAACACUAAAAAUCAAUCUAUGAAACCCAAAUAUCUCUCUUUUGUCAUGGAGCGAAUUCAAACAUGACAUCAGAUCUACUUCUAGGGAUAGUAGAGACUUACGGUAUUGCCCUGUGUUCAUUGAAAAACUCUUUCAAGUGCCUCAUGUGUCACUGAGUUGUAACUUCUUUCUCUCAUGCUCUAGCUGUGACACAACAAAACUGUAUUAAUAUCAGAUGAAACGCAAAUAUUACAUUUACGGUACUUCUAGGGAUAGUAAAGACUUACGGUAUUGCCCUGUGUUCAUUGAACAACUCCUUCAAGUGCCUCAUGUGUCACUAAGUUGCAAAUUCUUCCUCUCAUGCUCCAGCUGUGAGACAACAAAAAUGAAACGAAAAUACUACAUUUACUACUUGGUAUAGACACUUACCACAGUCUUUACUCGAUCAUUGACAUCACGGUUUCCACGGAAGACACAAUCCAGCAUUAAGAGCAUGUCUUUGUUAUCUGACCGUACAUAAAGCCUGAAAUCCAACAUCACAUAACAUUCAAUCAAAUAGAGUAGAUGUUAAAAUUCAAUAAAAUGAUAACUAGCAUAAUCAUACAACAAUUUUUCACCACCGGUUCUUAAUUUGCAAAACAGGGAGAUCUCAACGUAAGUAGGAAAACACUGAAACAGGGAAAUCUUAAUUGCAAAACAGGAAAACUCAGAAACUCUCUUUGUUCUCGUCAACACUAAAAAUCAAUCUCUAUAACCCAAUAAUCACUAAUCUUCUUAUCUUGAAGCGAAUUUAAACAUGGCAUCAGAUCAAGGGUACUUCUAGGGACAGUGAGAGUCUGUAAAUCAUCCUACGGGAAAUUUGUUCAAAACUAAUACCCUAAUCUUGCACCAUAUCUGAUUCCAAUCAAAGAAAGCUUCACUUUGAAAUACAGAGAAAGACAAACCACGACCAACACGAGCGGAGAAAUCCACCGUCCGUUCCGUUGCACUAACUCCGCCAUCACGAACAAAGAAACAAAACCGCCACCACCCGAUACAGAAACUUAGGGUUUUUAUCCACGAUUCGAAAUAAUUAGGGUUCCACGACAAAAUUGCACAACCGGAUUUGAUUCGGACGAGAGAGAAAGAGAGCGAGAUUAGGAUUAUAAAUUGAAGGACGAAGGAAAACGUUCAACGGGAAAAGAGAAAAGAAAGAAGAUAAACGAUUUUUUGGUGAAAGUCGGCUGAAGAAAGAAGCUUUUAUUUAACAAACGGCUAAAUGCCUAAAUUUAAUUCUCUUUGGGUCUCUCUCUCUUUUUUAUCCACAUAACAAUUAUUCGUCGGUCCACCCGUUAUUGGGCCGUAACAAUUAUUAUUCGGUCCAUUAUCCACGUAAGCAAGUAAGUCAUGGUUUUUUUUUUUUUUUUUUUUCUCAAGCAAGUCAUGGUUAGUUCUCACUGUAUGUUAUUUUUCACAAAAUAAAAUUGGAAUGGACCGAAGAAUAAUUUUUACGGCCAAUAAUGGAUCUAGUUAUUAGAUAACGAUUGAAUUUUCCCGUUAAAAAGUUAAAAGUCCUGGAAAUAUUAUUAAAGCAUAACGUGACAAACACACAUUAUUAAAAAAGAUUGAAUACAAACAAACAUUUGACGCUAAUUAAUUUUUAAAUAUAUCUUCGUUCAACUUUUCCAACAAUUCUUUGCUCUGAUCAUCGAAAUGCUCUUCUCCACUUAGCUUCAUAAACAUCUUCAUUUUCUUAGCUUGAGUCCUUUCUUUCAUUAAUAGGUUUGUCUCCUCUUGUGUCAUGGUUAUUUUGUCCAAUCUUUCAAGCUCUUGCUCCUUGAAUUGUUUGUAUUCAUUCCAUUCUUUGUUGACCACUUCCAAAGCUACAUGAUCUCUUUUGAAGUAUUUUUUCUUGCUAUGAGGUGCAUAGUUUUCUUCUAUAUUGUCUCGACGCUUUCUAAACCGGUUCACAAUAUACUUCUCUUCAAUUUGAGACUGCCUUUUGUAAGCUUCGAUAUCAAAAUGAAAUUUUGAUGGAUCCAUUGAUAUUAGUUUUAGUAUGAUGAGAUUUGUAGUAUUGAUACAACAAUGGAAGUAUGAGUCUUUAUUUAUAAAAAAUUAAGUGGUUGAAAUCGCCGGACUCCAAACAAACAUUAUAUUUACAUAAUUAAUAGAUAAGGUUUGGAUUCUCUCAUUAAAAGCCAAAAGACAUGGAUUACAUCGACAAAAAAUCAUGAAUUACUUACAAAGGAACAUUAUUAAAGCAGAAAGAGAUAGAAUACAAAAAGACACUUGACAACAAUUAGAUAUAUGAUCUAAAAUUUAUACAAAUCCUUCUCAUAUUAAUAUAUGAUUAAUUAUGUGUCAUUCACUACAAUUAUCACGUUCUCUUAUAAUUUUAUAAAAAUGAUUCUUUUUAUAUAUUUUCAUAUGAAUAUCACAUCGAUUUCAAGAUGGAAUAAUUAUGUUAUACAGUUAUUUAAUAUAUACUAUAAUAUAAAAUACAAAUAUAUGAAUUUUUUAUAAACAAAAUUAUUUAUAAAAUUAAAUUAACUAAAAUUUAUGUACAUGUAUAAAUCAAUCAUAUAUUAUAUGAGAAGGAUUGUAUAGAUUUUAGAUCAUAUAUUUAAUUUUCCAUAUUUCAUAAGUUUCAGUUUGCUUUUUUUUUUUAAUUUAGGAAACAAUAAUUAUCUAAAUAUAUAAGAAAUCUUUAUAUAUAAAAUUAAAUAUUUGAAAAUUUGAAAUAUAUAUUUAUGUAAAUAUAUUUAAUAUUUGUAUAUGUUUGGUUAUUGAUGUUUUUAGUAUUAUUAUUUUCAAUUAGUUGCAUAUAUUUUUAAUUAAUUGUAUAUUAUUAUUUUUAGUAUAUAUAUACGUUCUGUUUGUUCUAAUACCAAAAUGUUAUCGUAGCUAAACGGUUGAGAGUCUCUUAUGAGUCAAAACAGAAAAGCAGUUUGAUUUCUUGUGGACCCAAUAUUUUUGUUUUUUUCUAAUGAAACGUACGUCGUUUGAAAGCUUAAAAACGACGUUGUUUUGAUUUAACGAAGACUUCUAACGGAUUGUUAACCAUGUGAACGUCUGCUGAACGACAUGCUCGAAAUGGCUAAGUCAACGAAAUUUGACCAUUUUAUCAAAAACUCAAACUAAGCUUUACGAUUUAAAUGACAUAUCGAAAGUUCGUGUCUCUCAUCACAAAUUUUAAAAUUCAUUUAUUUCGACAUUAAUUAUUAUUUAAAAUCAUAAUUUCUUUAAAUUCUUAAAUAUUCAAUUUAUUUUAGUUUUUUCUGUUAUUCAUAAAUGCAAUCUGUAAUACUGUAUUAAACAGAAAAAUGGAAAGAGAGUACUUUAACUUAAAGCAAAUUUACUAGUAUGUUUAGUCAUAUAAACCUCCGCUCCACACACGUAACUUAAGGCUCCUCGUCCCCAACGGCUAGUAAUUAAAAAUUUAACAUUUUUAUGACUAACACUCAAUAUAAACCGUUAGAUCUUAAUUAAAAGUCAAACCAACGGUCAAGAUUCGAUUCAAAAAAAACAUGACCGUUAGAGAGAGCUAAAACUUUUCCUUUUUAAAAUAAAACAGUGCCAUUCCUCAAUCACAAAUCUUCACCAAUCACCAUCCGCAAUUUCACAGUCGAGAAAAAGUUAGGGUUUUUUUUUCCCUGAGAGAAGCAACGAGAGAUUUUGAAUCAGAAGAGUGGCGUCUGGUUGGGUCGAAGCCGGGACGGGAAAGAGUCGUCUCCGGGAUUUCUUUUCUUCUUUGUUAACGAGUCUUGGAGGAGCGUUACUUCAGAUCACAGAAGAAGAAGACGAACAACAAGUUUCAGAUAUGGCGUCGUCUAGAUUCUCUGAUCUUCCUCAUCAACGUGGAAUCGCAGGUUUUUCUUUCGCGAUCUUUGAUUAGUUGAUCUGUUGUAUACCUUUUUUUAAUUUGAUUUUGGUAAUUGUUUUCUUUGAUUUUAUCUUUGAUUUCUUGAAAAUUAAGUGGGUUCUUGUGGAUUUUGUUUUUUCUUUCGAUUUGAUUGAGAUUGAAAUUAUCUCUUAGAAAUUUGACGCAAUUUUGAUACAAAUUGUUUAAAUUUGUUAUGGAUCUUGAUCGAUUGUUGUGUUGUGUCUUAAAGUUUUGAUUUUCGUAAAUAUCUUGGAAAAUUGAUGCAGUUUUUAUAUGGAAUUUGUACGGAGUGUUCAUGUCUCGAUCUGAUCGGAUGAGACUGCAAGUUUCUGUUAGGUUAAUCACUGAUGGGUUUGUGCUAUAAUUGAAUUUGUUAGGUGAAAUCGUACCGACGAAUGUUGCGGGACAUGGAAGACAAAACCGAAAAGUUCUUGGUGACAUUGGGAAUCUUGUCACUGGCCGUGAUGUUGUAACCAGAAAGGUGAUUUUAAACAUCUCUGACUUCUUUUGUUGAUUAUGUUCUGUUUUCACUCAAAUUUGGAACUCAUUAAAGUAUUUAUCUACUCAGGAUAUUGCGAAGAAGGUGAAACCGCAGACAAAAGCCGAGGUUAUAGUCAUUAGCCCUGACGAAAACGAGAAAAGCUGCAAACCACAUUUCAGCAGAAGAACUCAUAUUCGAGGAACCAAAACUUUUACCGCAACCUUAAGAGCCCGAAGCAAGGUAACUAAAUUACAAAUCUUUUGAUGUGAUUCACCAUGUUUGAUGAUCUAACUCCUCUGUUUCAUUGUCUAACAGGCUGCGAAUGGAAUGAAGGAUGCUGUGAUUGACAUUGAUGCUGCCGAUGCUAACAACGAACUGGCUGCUGUGGAAUAUGUAGAUGACAUCUUCAAGUUUUAUAGGACUGUAGAAGAGGAAGGAGGAAUCAAAGACUAUAUAGGAUCACAGCCUGAGAUAAACGAGAAGAUGAGAUCGAUUCUGAUCGAUUGGCUUGUAGAUGUUCACAGGAAGUUUGAGUUGAUGCCAGAGACGCUUUACCUCACCAUUAACCUUGUUGAUCGGUUUCUAUCUUUGACAAUGGUUCCUAGAAGAGAGCUUCAGCUGUUGGGACUAGGCGCUAUGCUUAUAGCUUGCAAGUAUGAAGAUAUUUGGGCUCCUGAGGUUAAUGAUUUCGUCUGUAUUUCGGACAAUGCCUAUAGCAGGAAACAGGUUUUGGCUAUGGAGAAAUCAAUCUUAGGACAAGUCGAAUGGUACAUCACAGUUCCAACGCCUUAUGUGUUCAUUGUGCGGUAUGUUAAAGCUUCUGUUCCAUGUGACAUUGAGAUGGAGAAACUGGUGUUUUAUCUAGCUGAGCUGGGACUUAUGCAGUAUCCCAUAGUUGUCUUAAACCGUCCAUCGAUGCUGGCUGCAUCAUCGGUUUAUGCUGCGCGUCAAAUCCUUAAGAAGACGCCAUUUUGGACUGAGACUUUGAAACAUCACACUGGCUACUUGGAAGAUGAGAUCAUGUAAGCUAAUCUAACCUAAUCCUUGCUUUAUGUUACAGAUCUUUUUCAUUUUGGUAGUCAUGAAUUGACAAUGGUUUGGUUUGGCUUUUUUCAGGGAACAUGCGAAAAUGCUGAUGAAGUUAAGGGACUCGGCUUCAGAGAGUACGCUAAGUGCAGUGUUUAAGAAAUACUCUGUCUCAGAAAACGCUGAAGUUGCUCUUCUUCCUUCGCUUGACGACUUAUCUGUUUCUUGUGCAUGAAGAAACAAAACCCUAGUCUUCUUUUGUUGAUCAUGUAGCUGUGAUGAUCUCUUUGUGUUCUGCCCUUUUGUUGGUUUGGUUUUGCAUUAGAUCCUCUGUUAGAUCCGUCAAAGAUAAUGAUGUUGACCAUGAACAAGUUUUUUAGUGUGGUUUCAUUUAUCUUCAGUUUCUCUUGGAUUACCUAUUUGCGUUUGAAUUUCUUACUGAUAUAGCUAUUCCUUUUGUCACGUAUAUCUUAUAAUAUUUAAAAUACUUCAGCUUUGUGUUAGCAGAUGUUGAUCAAUGCAAUGUGUUACAAAACUAAGUGAAAGAAGAAGAUCAGUGAAAAAGAUUUCAAUGUAUUAUUAUUAAACAUGAGAAGCAGAAAAUGGGAGCGUUGGUUACGAACCUAAAGACAUAAAGCUUCGUUCAUUGACAAAUCUCAUUGUUAAUUUAAUGAUGUUGAAAUAAAAGAAAAUAACAUAACGAUGAACCUUGAUCAAUCUUUCCCAGUGAAGAUCAAUAGCGGAUAUAGGAAUUUUGUUUACCGGGGUCAUUAUAUAGUUAAAAUUUUAAAUAUUAAUUUGGAAUGCUAUAAACUAAAAUUAUUUAAAGAAAAGAUAAGAAAUGGGUGCAGUUAGGAAUUUUACCUUUUGUUAAUGGGGUCAAACAAAUGGAUUAAACAAAAAAAUCUAACAAAUAUAUUUUGUGGUUGUGGCACCUGAGAAAAUAGUAAAUUUUUUUUACUUUUCCUCAAUGAUGAGGACACUGUCAAAACAUGUUUGGCUCUAAUUACAUCAGCGAUGUUGUUGAAUAGUACUAGGUUUAGCCACUUAAUGCUUUUUCUUCUUACUACUUGUUAAUUGUAAUUCUACAACCACACACUACAUUUAUACUACUUAUCUUAACCUAUUUAUUUACGUGUUUUGUCUUAACAACACAAAAUAACCCAUUUAACAUUUGGGCCCUCAAUUCAACACCAUGGCCCAUUGGCCUUUUUCUUCUUUCUUCUUCUUCUUCCUCCUUCUACGAACACAACACUUUUCUUUGCUUUUUCUUCUUCUUACGAUUCGUCGUCACUCACUCUUCCUUCAACUUCUUCUUCUAAUGUCUUUUGUACAUGUUUAAUCAAAUAUGAAACUCCAACAGAUUUGAGAUGAAUUUUUCCUGGCUAGAAAAUCAUUAGAUGUAAGAAGCAAUCUAACUUGAUGAACAAGAAACAGAAACGGCAGCUCAACACCAGACUUGGUUCCUUGUCUCCAACGGCUAGUAAAAAAAAUUACAUUUUUAUGACCAUCAUUUGUUUCUAAAAUUAAAAGUUAAAUCAACGGUUAGAAGUUUCGGUUUGUAAAAUAACAUGACCGUUAGAGAGAGCUAAGAAUUUUCAUUAAAACAUUAUAUACCCUUCUUCAACCACAAAUCUUCACCAUUCGCAAUUUACACUCAGAAAAUUAGGGUUUUUCUUUUGAGAGAAGCAAAGAGACUUUGAAAUCUGAAGAGAGAGUGAUUCAGAGUUAUUGGGUCAUCUCCGGUGUAUCUUUUCAUCUCUGUUAACGAGUAUUGGAGGAGCGUUACUUCAGAUCACCGAAGAAAAAGAAGAACAACAAGGUUUAGAUAUUAUGGCGUCUAUAGUGUCUGAUCAACGUGGAAUCACAGGUUUUUGCUUCUGAUUUCUCCUUAUAAACUCAUGAUCUUGAUCAAUUGAUCUGUUUUAAACUCAUGAUUUUUUUUCCUUCUUUUGAUUAUCUCUGUUUUAACGAGUCUUGGAGGAGCGUUACUUCAGAUCACAGAAGAAGAAGAAGAAUGACAACAAAACAAGGUUUAGAUAUAUGGCGUUUUAGAGUCUCUAAUCAACGUGGAAUCGCAGGUUUUUGUUUCUAAUUUCUCCUUAUAAACUCAUGAUUUGUCACUAAUCAAUUGAUUUGUUUUACCUUUUAAUUUGAUUUUGUUAUAUGUUUCCAAUGAAAUCGGAAGUGUAAUUUGCGUCUGAUUUUGUCAUCUCCGGGAUUUCUUUUCAUCACUGUUAACGAGUAUUGGAGGAGCAGAUAUAAUGGCGUCUAGAGUCUCUGAUCAACGUGGAAUCGCAGGUUUUUGAUUCUCGAUCUCUGAUUUGAUGUUGGUAAUUGUUUUUUUUUGAUUCUAUGUUUGAUUUCUGGCAACUGAGUGGCUUCUUGUGGAAUUUUGUUCUAAUAUGAUUGAGAAUUUGAGAUUGAAAUUAUCUCUUAGAAACUUGACGCAAUUUUGAUACAAAUUGUUUAAAUUUGUUAUGGGUCUUGAUUGAUUGAUCGGUUGUAUCUUAAAUUUUGAUUUUGGUUAAUAUUUCCAAUGUUUACUUUGAUUUUCUCCAACGAUUUUAUGGUUCUUGAGUUUUUUUCUUUGAUUAAUUUCUGUUUUUUUUUCCAAUUGUUUUUAAUUUGAUUCUGGAAUUGUUUUCUUUGAAUUUCUUUUUUUUUUUUUUUUUUUUUUUUUUUUUUUUGUAAACAUUCUUUGAAUUUAUUUUAUCUUUGAUUUCUUGCAAUUGCAUUGGUCUUGUGGAUGUUUUUUUUAUUGGUUUGAUUGAUAUUGAAAUAUCUUUUAGAGACUUGACCCACUUUAGAUACAAACUAGAUUCGGACCCACACGAACGUGCGGGGUUAUGUUUGUAAAAAGAUUUUUUUUGUAUGGCAUUCAUAAUCCCAACUCAUAUCAGUUUGGUUUCAAUUUAGUUUAGAAAAAAAAUUAAUCCGAUUUGUUCUUGGUAUUAGUAAAGACCCUUGUUCAAAAACGCCGCCCAGGCGGCCGAUUACGCGGCGGCUAGUCGCUCGGCGGCAAGGAACCGCCGGGAUUAGGCUAAAAUCGGAUCAAAAAUCAGAAGUUUUUAAAAAAACUUGAUUUUUUUGUUCUUUUAAAGGAUGAAAAUGAUAGAUACUUGAUGGAUCUACCAAUAAAUAGCAAGAAAACCAAAAAAUGAUGAAAAGUGAGGAAAAAUACAGUGACGGUGGAUUAGGGUUAGAGAUCUCUCAUUUUCAAGAGGUAGAAGACGAGGGUAUUUUGGUAAUUUAAUACCAAUUAAACCUAAAAUGAACAAAAUAGAAAAAAUGUCGCUAGAGUUGCUCGAACUCCCCACCCAUAUUAACGGAAACGUCCUUAAAACCACUGGACCAACUUGCGCUUUUGAUUUUAUUUCCACACGAAUAAUAUAUAUACAAUAUAUAAGUAAAAAAUAUAAUAAACUAAUCCCGAUUAAUCCCCGUUUAAUCUCCGAUUUUUUGGCUAGGCGCUAGGCCCGGCUCGAACGCCCGACUAACGCCUAGCGAUUUUUUAAACAUGGGUAAAGACAACUAAAAAAUAUAGGAAAUAAGAGAAUAUAAGCAUAUCGAUUUUGGGACAGAGAACCAAUCCUAUCACAUAUCUACCAGGAAUUUUUCAUCACAUAAUUGUUUCUUUUAAAAUAAUUUACUUGUUUUAUAAAAAUUAAAUACCUAAACAAAAAAAAACAGGAAAUACGGAUAUUCCAACCAAAUCCUAGACCUAUUUCCUUAUCAGUUGGACUAAAAUAUACAAUUUUUUUUUUUAUCAACCACAUAUUAAAUUAUGGAGUUAUUUUUUAAAUUAAUGUGUGGUUGAUAAAAAAAAUUGUAUAUUUUAGUCCAACCGAAGGAAAUAGGUCUAGGAUUUGGACGGAAUAUCCGUAUUUCAUGUAUUUUUUGUUUAGGUAUUUAAUUUUUACAAAAUUAGUGGAAAUGAUCCAUAUUUUCUUAAUAUUUCUCAAUAUUUCACUAUUAUGUUUUAAAAAAUAUCUAUGCUAUGCUAAAUAAAUUGAAAGAAACAUUUUAAACACAUGAUUGCAAGCAAUGCAUGUUUAAAGACAUUUUUAAAGGUAUUUCCAUCCUUACCCGUUCAAUCUCGAUCCUGUUUUGAAAUUUAAAUAGGACAUAAAUAAUCAUAUUUUUAUAUUCCUAAAAUUUCCGCUCCGUAGAAUUUCGUUCCGAAUUGCAUUAAACAUCCACACAAUCGAGCAUAUAACUUUUGAUAGUACAAAUAUGGAAUGUUGAUUUGCAGCCAUGGGGGACUUUGGAGAAUAAGAAUUUCAUGUUCGAAUUCUACUGCAAGCAUUUGAACUUCAUUUAUCUCUCUUAAGCGUAAACAUCUUCUCUUUCAACUCAUCUUAACUCAUUUUGGACCGUUACAUAUAUUCAAAAAUAAAAACACACGUACUUUGAUAAGUAUGAUAAAUGUUUUUUCUACAACUUUUGCUACUUCAAUGAGUGUUUUUUCUGUAAAAUUAUAUAGUCAACACAUGUAAUUGUGUCAAAUUUUGUUAGAAAUUUAAUAUGCUGACUCUUCGCAAGAACAACAACACAUUCUUGAUUUCUUUCUCUGUAAAAAAAUUAAUAUGUUUCUUUCAAUUUAUCUGAAUUAGCAUGUUACUAUGAAUUAGUUUAUAUGUUGUAUAUAUGUAUAUGUUAGAACAAAAAAAAAAUACACGAAUAAUACAACACAAUCCGAGAACUAAACACAUAAAAUCCAAACCACACGAAUUCAAUUUCACUUGCAGUAGAUGGCCGAGAUCUGUAACACCACUAACACCUAGUACAAUAAUCGGGUCAUAAUACCAAAAAGAUUAAAGAAACCAAAUUACACAAAAAAUACCACCUGACGGAAUGGAGCCAAGUUUCUCCCAUCUAGCAACAAUUUAUCUCAGCCAACUUGUUUUCCUUUCCUGCAAAAGAAACUCCAAUCAUCGAUCUAUUAGAUUGUUCUACACCAAAUCUGUUCUUAGAAUUGCACACCAAAGAAUCCAAACAUUUGAAAAAUGUGUGUCAAGGGGCCUUUGUCUUCAGAAAACAUAUCACAGUGAAAGGUGUUUACCAGCCAAAUUGAAAAACAAAAGACUACAUUCAGAUUUGUAAUAUUUUGACUGUCUCCCAAUUAUUUUUGUAUACGUUCAGAUUUGUAUCCAAGUCAAACACAAUCUGUCAAAAAAUCAAGACAAAAGAAAAAAUUAUUGGUCUUGAUAUAAAAAAAAACAACAGAUUCACAUAUGAACAACUCAUUGCUAUUAAAGAAGAAGAUUCAAGAAAUUUUACCAUGUGUUUCAUUGAAGUACCUUUUAUGAAACACGUAUAUCCUGUUUGAAACCAAGAUUUGCAGCCAUUGUUUAAACUUAAGUAUAAAAUAUCAAUAAAAAUAGAAAAUUUUGAAUGAUUAGUAAAUAGUAAAAAAUCGACUUCUAUAUUUAUAGGAUAAAGCAAGCUGGCUUCAAUAUUUAGGGUUUACAUUGUUAUAAUCUUAACAAUAUAUUUGCAAAUCAAAAUAUUAAAUAUAGGUGGCGAAAAAAAGAGAGUAUUAAAUAUAGAUUCGAGGUAUAUGCUUGAUUUCAAAAAUAAAUUAAAAUCUAUAACUAAAAUUAUAUUUGGCAAGUAAUAACUGUUGUGAUAUGAUUUCUUGAACUAAUUUAAAAUUUGAUUUAAUAUUUCGUAAACAGUUGCAUUUCCAUUAUUAUUAUUUCGAAUUUAAUAUAUUCGAUUGUUGAUGUCAAAAAAAAAAAAUAGUCUAUUGUUAAGGAAACCUUAUUAAAUCAUAACAAUAAAUUUAGUGUGUUUUCUAAUUUUGGAUAGAAUAUACGUGGAAAUCUUUCUGAAUAUCUUUACUGUUAGUGCUCCAACAAAAUGAAUAUUUAUAUUGUUGUUUUUUUCCCUUCUUUUAUUUUUUUUAAUUGAAUAAUCCUAAUGGCAUUCCAUGUAAUAUUCUACAACUUAAAGGUUUUUUAAUAUCUAGUGAUUCCAAAUUAAUAAUAUAGAUUGUUACAAUUUGUUAUGGAUCUUGAUCGAUUGAUCUUUUGUAUCUUGAAAUUUUGUUUUUUGAUAAAUAUUUCCAUUGUCUUGGAAAGGACCUCCCUAUUUAUAGGGAAAGGGUAGUCGGGUAUCGAGAUAAGGUCUAUAUCCUCAAAUCUCGGGCUUGAAUUUUCAAAUUGCCUAUAUCUUCAGAUUUUCUUUUUUUGUUCGGGAAAAGGAACAAUUCCAUUUUAUCUUAGGAGGUCGGCAAGAGCUUCCCGGGCACUCAUGGGCCGAUUAUCGGUUUGGUAGAAUUAUUCUGGUUUAAGUCGGGUUUGUUGUGGGUAAAUUCCGCACCAACAAUUAGUCCCCCUCAGUUCGGUGAAUGAGAAUGCGAAUAAUGCGAAUUAGAAGAAAAAGUAGCCCGUCUUGAAUCAAGAAUAAUCAGAAAUUGCGAGCAAAGUUUAGGUGAUGAGCUGCGAUGUUUUGACGAGCGGCGAUGUUUGGACGAGCUGCUAGGUAGGAACAUGAAGUAUUUAACGAGUUGUGAGUUAGGCAAUCUGAUGAGCUUUGAUAUAUGCAGACUGACGAGCUGCGACAUUUGAGCUGCAAGGUAAGAGCUACAAAUUAUGCGAAUAAUGCGAAUUAGAAGAAAAAUUAGCUCGUUUUGAAUCAAGAAUGAUCAGAAAUUGCGAGCGAAGUUUAGGGGAUGAGCUGCGAUGUUUUGACUAACUCCUAGGUCGGCAACAUGAAGUAUUUGACGAGCUGCUGAGCUGUGAGUUAGGCAAUUUGAUGAGCUUUGAGAUAUGCAAGCGGACGAGCUGCGACAUUUGAGCUGCGAGGUAAGAGCUACAAAUUAUGAGCUGAAGAGCUGCGAAGCAUGAUGAUAUGACUAUGCUCGACCAAGAUCCGAAACUCGAACCAGCGGAACACCUCGUAGCCGAGGAGCAGCGUGUAGCGGAGGAAGUUACCAGAUGAUUUGACUGACAAGCUACGAGAUGACCUGCCAGAUGAUCUGGCUAAUGAGCCGCGAGAUGAGCUGCCAAAUGGGCAGAUUGGCGACGACCUGUCAUGAUAACUUGGAUUGGCUGAAUAUGUGAGUUUUGACUUUAUCUUUUGUAGUUAGGUGCGAGGCAAUCUCGGCUUAUCCUAUUACAAUGACUUAGUGCAAGAUGCGAUCUCAACUUUUUUGCAAAAGAUUUAUUCGUGUAAUUGUGAGCGUUGAGGUCGGCUUAACUAUGAGAAGUGUUCUUAGCUUUUGAAUGUAGCUAGAUGCUAGGCGAACUAGGCUUUUUGAGUCGGAAGUUAGUAUUGAGCAUAGUGUAAAGCUCAGUUUUGACAAUCGACAAAUGUGAAGAUUAAAUUGUGGAUGCCGGAUUUACACACUUAAUUAUUUAUUUAUUUAGUGAGAAAGACUAUUCUUGAGGACAAAAAUCAAUGUAAAGAAAUUGUGAAUUUGAUAUGGAAAUGGCUAUAGUGUAUUUGCUCGAAAAAAUUGUGUGCCCCUUACAUGGCCCUUGGCCCUCUUACUUAUACUCACAAACAACAUUUAACUCCCAAUUAAAUACAAUUAUUCUCUCUUAAAUGUGUCUGUUACAGUCUUUGUGUUUAAUGCUCAAACGUUCAAAUUUGAAUUGAUUCCGAUCUUCAUGGGCCUCACCUUUCAGCCCAAAUAUUCUCGAACCGAACUAUCCGUGGCUCCGAAUCCGUUCUCACCUCACGGUGUGAACACUUCGCUCGUAUCUUCCUUUUGAUUUGAGGGUCUUACGGGUCUUUUCUCUUCGUGGGCUUCCCGUCUGCUUAUGUGACAAUCUUUGGUUGGUCCCGGACUACUGGUGCGAGAUCCGACACCAACAAUUAGCCCCCCAAGUCUUUCGUAGUGCCAUUUCAAUUCGGAGGACUUUAAUGCUUUAAUGGCCAAAGAUUGCGCUUGAGAAUUUUCUGAUUUCCCGCCAAGAUACCAUCAAUCCUUUAAUCUCGGCGCUAUCCAUAUUUACUAGCAUGACAUAUGUCACCUAUUAUGAUCAUAUCUUAAUUUUUUACUAUUAAAACGGGAAAAAUCUCUCCACUUCCCCAACGACUCCCAAGGCAGUUCCAUCAUUACCACUUAGCUUGCGUGAGGUAACCUUCUUUUUAUUUUUACUUUUACUUUUGUCCUUUCAGAUUAAAAGUUCUCUCUGCUCUUCUCGUCAAGUUCCUUUGCUUCUUUCGCCAAAUUUCUUUUCCCAAACCUUGAAUUUUCCAUCUUUCUCGAUGAAUUCUGAUUCCGAUAGACCCGAGUCUCCGUCCUUCGACAAGAGACGUUCUAGUAAUGACGAAUGCACCCUCCCUAACGAUAUCGCUGGUCCGCAUUACAGAUCCACAUGUACUCUUCGAUCCCUCGAGCGAUUGAAGGAGCUUUGCCAGAUUCCACCUGGAAUCAUGGCGGAAGCGCAAAUAGCCGAUCCUACGGAGUCCCCGGAAAACCACCGCGACGGCUACUUAUGUGUAUACGAGAUUUAUUUCAAGGGCUGCGGAUUAACCUUCCCCCUUCCCGAAGCCCUAGUUCAAUACCUAGCGGCUCUUGAGAUUGCUCUACCUCAAUUAACCCCCAAUCUUCUUCGCACCAUCCUCAGGAUUAUAACCGUUGCGGUGGAGGCCGGAUAUAUUAUCGGAUUCCCCGAGUUGAACGAGCUUCUAAGCGUGAGAAGUUCAUCGAAGAAAACGGGGUAUUUCUCAGCGUAUCUGAACGCCAACAGAAACAUCAUCUCGCACCUCCCGAACAAGGAUGAAAACUGGCACCAUCCUUGGUUCCUGAUUAAGAAAACUCCUGCUUCGAUUGGAAAUCUUUCCGAUAUACUCCCAUCGAAGUGGUCUGCGAAGCCUGGUAGAAAUUAGGUUGCAUAUACCUUUCCCGGUUGUUUUAUUAUUUUUACUGACUAAACUCGUUGUUUCACUUCGAAGCUUUCAUCGCUCCGACUCUCCCGUCUAAAGAAUUCAUCGGAUUCAUCAGAUUCUUCAAAAUAAUUCUUGAAGGGGAAACCCUUUGGAAUUCUUUCACCCUUGAUCGGUUCAUAGAAGCCAAUCGAAAACUCAGGAUGAGCCCUCCCGAUUAACUUCAUCGUCUUCCGCCUCCUCCCUCAACUCAAGGAAUGUCAGCUUGGGCCCUCACUGCCCAGCGCAAGAUGCUCUCCAAGCCGAUAACUUAGGCUUGCGAGGAGAACAAGGCGUUCCUUGCGACCGCCAUUGACAAAAAAGACUAUAGUAGGACCUUGCUGGUUGACGUUAGUAGCGCCGAAGGAGCCAGAUCCGUCUCUGCUUUCAGAUUAACACCUCGUCGUGAACGUCGUGAUGAUCGUUCUCCUCGGAGGGCCCGAUCUCCUUAUCGUGACUCUCCUCGUCCUCCCCGAGAUGAUUUCAGCAACGAACCGCUUAAGAAUUUGAUUCGCAAGAAGAGAGACAUGCCAUCUCGCAGUGGUUCCUCUCCGCGGAGGGAGAAGUCAAGGGCCUGGACUGAUCGUUCUCCUCAAUCGUCCCCUCCUACUGAACCAAUGGGUUCUCCUCCUCCUGUUGACAUGUCUUCCUCUUCCCAACACAGUGGCGAGAAGACUGUCCGGAGCGCGUCUCCUAAAAAGGGGGGUACUGAGCCUCGAGAACCUCCCCCAAAGUCGAAGGUUGUACUCGUCCCUCAGAGCAAAUCUCUUUCAGGUCUGAUAAUGAUUUAUGCACACUUUAAAAUUUUUUAUCCUGUUCAGAUUCUAAAUUCUACAACUCUUCCUCUUCUGCCUUCACAGCUAUGGAGAAAGAGGGUAGCGUCUUCCGAUGCUUCAAAACCCGAUCCAAUAGCGUUAACGGGAUCUUGCUUGUGUAAGCCACAACUGGGGUCUGACCUAACGCCGAACCACGGUAUCUUACAUUAGAAAAAGUGGCUCUCGCAAUCAUAAUAGUAGCUCGCAAGCUCUGACCUUCCAAUCAUAUUCUGUUGUCGUGUAUAUGGACCAGCCACUCCGAACUAUUCUCCAUAGUCCGAACUAGUUUGGAAGAAUGGCUAAAUGGGUAAUCAAGCUCGGUGAAUACGUUAUCAAGUAUCAUGCCAGACCUAGCAUGAAGUCAUAAGUCCUAGCCUACUUUAUAGCCGAGUUAUCCCUUGAACUCCUUGAUAACAGUCCAGACAACAGUAACUGGAUACUUGAUGUAGACGGGUCUGCAUCUCAACCCCGGUUCGGCUUGAGAGUCUUACUAUAAUCUCCAAUGGGAGAAAUACUUGAGCAAUCGUUUCGACUUGGUUUCAAAGCCUCAAAAAACGAGGCUGAGUACGAGGCACUGCUAGCUAGGUUGCGACUAGCCAGAGGAAUCAAAGUUGAUCACAUUAAAGCUUAUUCUGAUUCCCAACUCGUGGUUAACCAGUUCAGCGGUGAGUUUAAGCCAAAAACGAACGAUGGACGCCUACCUGCAGUUCGUCAAGAAAAUAUCAAAGCAGUUUAAGAGUUUCAGGCUCAUAAAGAUCCCACCAAGCGAUAGUGCAUCUGUCAACACCCUUGCUGCGUUAGUGUAUGUUUUGUUUGUUUGGAAUUUGGAUCAACCAAUGUGGAACUUCGAGUAACCAUCCUUGUGAAAGACAUAGCAAUGCCUAGCAUCGAUCUGAGCAACCCGACCUACAUCAUCAAUGAUGUACCAGUUGCAAUGGAGAUCAGAGAUGAUCCCGACGACCAAGCGAAUGUUAAGGUCGAUCUAGAACCAGUUGAUUGGAGAGACGAAAUUAAACUAUAUAUUGCAGACGACAAAGUACCAACUGGUGUUGGUAAGCUAAACGAUUAAAAGAAGUGCGAAUUAUGUCCUUGACGGAGAUACACUUUAUCGCAGAAGUUCGACCGGUGUUCUUUUCGCAUGUGUCGAUCGCACAGAGGCUAAUCAGAUUAUGCAAGAAACGCACAAAGGCGAAUGGGGAAACCAUUCAGGAGGUCGUGCCUUGGCCCUCAAAAUAAAAACGGAUGGACAUUACUAACCUACUAUGGUCACCGAUUAUUAAGUCUUCGUUGCAAAGUGUGAACCGUGUCAGCGCCAUGGCCCCAUGAUUCACAUAUCUCCCGAACGGUGACAAUUACAUUGGACGACGCCAAGACGAGCUACUGGCCAAUCACCUUUCUCCUUUGCAUAUGGCAUUGAAGCCAUGGCCACUACUAAGGCAAGUGUCCCAACAAUUCUGCGUUGCAUGAUGACUAAUCACCCCGAGCUCAACGACGAGAUGAUGUAUGAUCACAUCGAUAUAUGGGAAGAACUACGCGAUCAGGCCUUUGUAUGAAUACAAAACUACCAGACUGCGUCACCUUGCCACUAAAACAAAACUGUUAGAGAACGACGCUUCAAUGAAGACGUCCUCAUUCUCCGCAAAGUCUUCAAGAAUACCAAGGAACACCGAGCAGAAAAAUUCGGUGAACAUUAGGAAGGACCUUACUUGAUCUCUAAAGCAUUUCGCCUUGGAGUAUAUGAACUCAUGACAAUGGAUUGCAAUGAGGUCGAACAAUCCUGGAAUGCUUCUAACGUGAAAUGGUAUUACUACUAAGUCGCUCUACGAGCCAAAAAAGAAAAUGCUCUACGAGCCAAAAAAAGAAAAAGAAAAAGAGACACGAGCUCGAUAUUCUGACCUCUCCAUUGUAAUUUGAACUACGAAUGGCUAGAUGCCUACACAGAGCACAUAAGCAUUCCUUCAACGGAUGCAACUAUAUUUCUUAAUAAAAAUUAAAGUUUGCAUUUUUAAGUCUGACCUGAAAAGGAAAACACGGUCAUGAGAAGAAGAAUUUUUUUUGUUUAGUGGACGAAAGAAAAAGUGGUUCAGUAACAUACCAUGUUAACAAACUCUUGGGCUUCGACAGAAUUAGUUUCGUUAGCAGACUAUCCUAAGUAAAAUGGUUUCACCGAUCCCGUGGUAAAAUUCUCGCAAGGAACAACCAAAGGGUCUUCUCAUUGAAUUCAGGGCUAACAUCCCUUUCACAACCGUCGCAAUUCCGCUAUCCUAUGAAAACCAUUCUUGAUCCAAUCCCUAGGAUGUGAUUCAAGAAAAUUUAUCUUGUGAGUCAAGUUCGAUCUAUGUUCAUCGAUUAUAGCCAGCCGCUUCCUGUAUUCUUCAUGUUUGUCUUCAACAAGAGACAAAAACUCCUCUGCUAGGAGACGUUCUUCUUAGCUGAUUCAGAAUAAAAGUGUCCAAGGAACCCUUAGGUUGUCAAAGUAGGGCAUCCCUCUCUUCGAUGCUUCCGUGAUGGUAAACGUCGAAAGAUUCAUACUAUCCUCAAUCGUUCUACGCGUAGGUGGGAAAGGAACAUGGCAAGAACCAGAGCACUCCAUUGUUAAAAAAAAGUAAAGGUAAACUCGAAUGAGCAAAGAUAUAUCUCUAAGAAACGAGCCCGGGUAUCUUUAUAGGAAUUCCGGUCUCGGAUUUCGUUUUCCAAAUGGAAAAUGAUUUGUUCGAUUUCUCCUUUUCUAUACGAAGGAUUUUUCCAUUUUUAAAUGGAAACAGAUUAACCAAAAUUUCUUUUUUAAAUUAAAAAAGAAAUAAACCAAAUUUCCAAAAGCAAAAAUAAAAAGAAAAUUAAAACGCAGUGUAAAUUAACAGGCCCGAGGCUCGGUGGAUUAGGUUCAAGAUUACAUCAUAUAAAAAGAGAGCAAUAAGAUGAAAGAAUGGAAAGGUAGCUUGGGUCCAGGCUUAGGCCCCUGGAUGGUUCCUUUCAUCCUCGCCAAGGGUUGUAUGAAUAUCAGUUUGAUAGAAGGGGGCGUUGGAGCCAUGACGAUCGCCGACAGAAGCUUGAGUCUAGGUGUCUAAUCUAAAAAAACUAAAACCGGGUUAAUCCGACGAUAUACUGAUAUCUGCAUCCCUCAAAUCCAUGACGUCGAGGGCAUCCACUUUAGCAUCUUAAUGUUUGACAUUUCUUCCUUCGAGAUAAUGGCGCCUCUUUCGAUAAACGCCUUAAGAGACUCCUCCAUUCCCUGAGCUUGGUUGAGCAAGUCCAUAUUUGGGCGAAUAACCUUCAUUUGUUCCUCAAGGUACGUCUUCACCUUGUCCAGACGAGCAUGCGCUUUCGUCGCGGUGCGCUCAACCCUCGUAUCCCUAUCCCGAUGAAGUCUGGAUCCUUCUGAUUCAGCCUAGGCCUUCGAAGCUUUGCACUCCUUUUGCAGUCUCUUCACCUCCUCCUUAAAACUUGACUCGCGAGACAAUAGGUCGGCAACGGUUUAAUUCAGAGAAGCGACAAUGACCUUCCAUUCCUCAUCAGCCUCCUCCUGAUCUCUAAUCUUCUUCUUCAUCGCCCGUACUACGACCCUAGCAUAUCCGAUGCAUUCCUCCAUCAUCUUCAAUGGGUGAUCGGCUUUAGUUCAAGAUUUUUUCCUUCGAUCGUAUUUCAACACGUGCGCGUUGGCAUAAGCAGUGGUUUAUAACAAGAAGAGAAGAGUGUGAAACACGAUCCAAUAAAAGGAGAACGGAAACGAGGACGAACUCCUACAUGCAGGAAGGACUGCACGAACUUCAGGUAGUCCUCUUCAAACUCCAAUCAGUGGGAUCCAGGAGAAUCUUAGAGGAAAUCUUUAAAUUCCUACAUAGCUGACCAGACACCUCCAGGUCUUUCACAAGGGAUCCCUCCCCGAUAUACUCAUAGCCAAACAUCUCAAAAUGGUUGGACUCAUCGCGAGUUAAGCAAAAAGACUUUUGUUGGAAACCCAGCGUGAAGGCCAGCUUCCUCAGAAGGUCGUUUCCGACCUCGAUUACCUCCGGUCUCUAAAACCGGAUAUUUUCCCUUGUUCGUCUUCUUCUUCGAUCUUUCUACCACAUCGACCUACUCUGUUCCGACAUGAUCAGUCUGUACUUGCUCGACCUCAACUUGUUCGUCGUUCACCCUUUCUAGAUUUUUCUGAACGUUCGCAGAAGCGACUGAUUCAUUUGGUUCAAAAUUCGGAAGCGAGUCGGGAACAGUUAGGUCUCCUCCGACCCUCUCUUUGUGAUAAAAAAGAGAAGUAAUGUCUUUGAUAAAAACACCUCGAGGGAUGGAAUUCUUCUCCAUUUCAUCCUCGUCGGGUUAAAACUCAUCCAUUGAGUACUCAAUCAAUGCCUCGAACCGAUCAAGAUCGUCUUCUUCAACAGGGAGAUCGGCUGGAUUGAGUGGAUUUCCUUCUCCAUCCACGUUGUUCCGACUAGAGUCAGAGUCAUCCUCCAGAUUUCAUUGAAGAUUGUUCGAAAAACUCGAAUGAAAACGGCGAAGAUUAAAAACACGGAAAAGAGAGAGAAGAGAGCAAAAACUACAUUUCUUUUAUGCGGUUGAAAGUGAAAAAUGAAGAGAAAAACCGAGUAUUUAUAGAGAAAAAGUGGGGGGGGGGGGGGCUGACCUUCAAAAGGUCAUCAUUAUACCUAGGCGACGUUUCAACUUCCGACCUACAUGUCAUCAUUCAAUACCCGAUUUCUGGCAUGUGUCCGAACGGAUAAGCGUGUUCAUUAAGUUUAAAGAUUACAUUCAAAUUUGCAUCUUCCUAAAUAUAAGCCGAAUAUUCUCUCUUAUAGUUCGGAAAACUCAAAUUAAAGUUUGAAUUCUCCAAACUAGGAGGACUAAUUGUUGGUGCGGGAAUUAGCACCUACAACAAUACCGGCCUAAACCUAGGAGGAUUCGAAUCAAUUGAGCAAUUCAAUUAAACCGAGAAAACCCGGUUUACCUGUUAAUGGGCCAUUGGGCUCGAAGCCCAUGGAGGUCGCCAGCCGACCUCCCUUAAAUCAAAGGAAAGGUUGUUACCGACCUUCCAAAAGAGAAAACCGGGAAAAUUCCCUUUAAUAAAAUGUCAAGAUCUGAAGAUAAGGAAGGCUUGAAGAUUCAAGCCCUAGAUUUAAGAAAAUUUAGCUUUAUCUUAAAGAGGUCUCCCGAGUAUAAAUAGAGGGGUUUAUCCUCUAUGCGGGGAUCCGUAAUUUUGCACACAUAAACCCAGCUUCUUCAUUGUUCGUGAGCAAAACCUAACUUGUUCUCAAAGCAAUCUUAAAUCUCUUUGUAAUCGAGUCUUUGAUCGAGUUCUUAGUAAAGAGAGUUAAACAAAUUUGUUUUCCUCUUUAAACAAAUUUCUUGUGUGAAUUCUAGAUUCAACAAUAUUUAUCUACUCAGGAUGUUGCGAAGAAGGCGAAAUAGCAGCAUAAAUAGAGGGGUUUAUCCUCUAUGCGGGGGAUCCGCGAUUUUGCACAUAUAAACCCUAGCUUCUUCAUUGUUUGUGAGCAAAACCUAACUUGUUCUCAAAGCAAUCUCAAAUCUCUUUGUAAUCGAGUCUUUGAUCGAACGAGUUCUUAAUAAAGAGAGUUAAUCGAAUUUGUUUUCCUCUUUAAACAAAUUUAUUGUGUGAAUUCUAGAUUCAACAAUAUUUAUCUACUGAGGAUGUUGCGAAGAAGGCGAAACCGCAGUCAAAACCCGAGGUUAUUACCAUUAGCCCUGACGAAAAUGAGAAAAGCUGCAAACCACGCACAUUUCAGCAGAAGAACUCGUGGAACCAAGACUUUUACCACAACGCUAAUAGUUGGAAGCAAGGUAACUAAAUUUCAAAUCUUUUGAUGAGAUUAACCAUGUUUGAAGAUCUAACUUCUCUUUUUUUAUUGUCUAAUAGGCUGCAAGCGGACCGAAAGAAGGUGUGAUCGACAUUGAUGAAUAAGUAGAUGAAAUCUUCAAGUACUAUAGGACUGUAGAAGAGGAAGGAGGAAUCAAAGACUAUAUUGGAUCACAACCUGAGAUAAAUGAGAAGAUGAGAUCGAUUCUGAUCGAUUUGCUUGUAGAUGUUCACAGGAAGUUUGAGUUAAUGCCAGAGACACUUUACGUCACCAUUAACCUCGUUGAUCGGUUUCUAUCUUUGACAAUGGUUCAUAGGAGAUAGCUUCAGCUGUUGGGACUAGUCGCUAUGCUUAUAGCUUGCAAGUAUGAAGAGACAAUGCCUAUAGCAGGAAACAGGUCUUGGCUAUGGAGAAAUCGAUCUUAGGACAAGUCGAAUGGUAUAUCACGGUUCCAACUCCUUAUGUGUGCCUUGCGCGCCAUGUCAAAGCUUCGGUUCCAUGUGACAUUGAGAUGGAGAAACUGGUGUUUUAUCUAGCCGAGCUAGGACUUAUGCAGUAUCCUAUAGUUGUCUUAAACCGUCCAUCGAAUCUGGCUACAUCAGCUGUUUAUGUUGCGCGUCAAAUCCUUAAGAAGACGCCAUUUUGGACUGAGACUUUGAAACAUCACAUUGGCUACUUACAAACCAAGAUCAGAUAAUGUAAGCUAAAAUCUAAUCCUCACUUUAUGUAUUUAUCUAUUUCAUUUUUGCAAUCCUCGUUUGGUUUGGUUUUUUAGGGAACAUGCGAAAAUGCUGAUGAAGUUAAGGGACUUGGCUUCAGAGAGUAACCUAAUAGCAGUGUUCAAUAAAUACUCUUAAUCUCAAAAAACGCUGAAGUUGCUCUUCUUCCUUCGCUUGACGACUUAUCUGUUUCUUGUUCACGAAGUUACAAAACCCUAGUCUUCUUUUGUUGAUCAUGUAGUUGUGAUGAUCUCUCUUUGUGUUCUUCCUUUUUAUCUGGUUUGGUUUUAACAUUGGAAUCUCCAUGAGAUCCGUCAGAGAGAAUGAUGAUCAUGGACAAGUCUUUUUGUGUUUUUUUCUUUUAUCUUCAAUUUCUAUUGGAUACUUCUGAUAGUGUUAACUAAUCCUUUUUGUCACAUUUCUUAGUGUUAAGACCGUUCCAAACAUUGUUUAAACGUAUAAUAUUGAGAAGCAGAUUUCUAAGUGUAAUCAAAUUUAAGUUCGUCAAAAUCAACAAAAAAGAUUUCCAUUUAUUAACAUGAGAAGCAGACUUUCUCCUAGGUCACAAAUGGAAAUGGAAGCUUUGGAUAAGACUCCCAAAACCAGAAAUCGAGCUUUGUUUAUGAGCGAAUCUCGAAACCAGAAAAUUUCUUAUUAGUACCGAUCUUCGCCAUUUUUUUCGGGUUUUUGCAGGAUUUUAGCUGCUAGAGAGUUUGCUUUAUUGAUGAAUCACUUGCAUCAAUCCACAACAAGCCAUCCGUUAUACUCCUCAAGGGCAAGUAAGAUCAAAACAAAUGAAUAAACACAAGCCACCCGUUACAUAUACAUUCACCAUCACCUCUUACACUGAUUCCAUAAUUUUACACACAAACAGAAGUACAAUUCAAACAAUUUUCUAAACCCUAUUAUAUAAACUACAAAACAAAAAAAAAAAAGCUCUUACGGAUACUAAAAUCACAACUUAGUUAAGAGCCAUUCUUCAAGGGCUUUGACCCGUCUCUGUUCUGUCGUCUGGACCAGCAAGCGUCACCUGCAACACAUCAGUUUCAUACUUACAUCAACACCUCUUUCUACAAAAACCAUAGUUUCUAACUCCAUCUUUGUUAUACUUACAUUACAAUCACAAGCGAAUCUUCGUGCAAGCAUGAUCGCAGCGUUUCUUUCUCUCUCAGACUCAAAAGCUAUCACAAAGGAUACUCCUUUCUUUGCCUGCCAAUACAAUGCCUGAGCUGCAGCAUUUCCACCUCCUCUCACUCCACAUAGCUACUCAAUAUGAUCAUCAAAGAUUAUGAUUUAAAGGUCUCUCCGCGUAACACUAAAAAGAUGAAGCUUUCUCGAGGAAAAAGGAGUCGCUUACCUGCAUCGCACUAGAGUAGUACUCUUUCGCAAUGACUGUCUUUCCCUUGCAAAGCUUUAUCCUCAUUUUACCAACGUGAAACAGGUGGAUCGAUUCUGAUGUAUGGUCUUCCCCACUCAUUUGGGUCACAACUACCUGUCAAUUACAAUAAGGGGAACUAUAAUAUACAAACAAGCAUGUGCCGGAUAUAAAACUAAUGAUUCCGAGCCAUCCCUACAUAUGGUAUGCAUAUAUAAUUAGCCUUAGAGAAACGUUACAUUGAAAUCAACAUCGUGUUUCCGUACUAAUGCCUCCACGUAGCUACCUAAUCCAGCAGCUGCAUCAAAUCAGACUUUUUAACACAACCUACACAAUGAUGAUGUUGACAUAAACAAGAACAAUUUCAAGUAAAUAACAUAACAAUGAACCUGGAUCAAUCUUUCCAACAGUGGAUAACGAAAGCAAACGGCCAUCGUAAGUAAUAUCUGCGUGUAAGACUCGUCCAACGUCAAAUGGCUCGGGAGCGUAAACUGAUUUUGUGGCACCUGAGAUAGGAAUAUAGUUAGAAAACCUUUUUCCUCAAUGAGGAAAACAAUCUCCAACUUGAUUUGGCUCUAAUUAUAUGAUAUGAGCCAUGGGAGAUAUAUUGUUCCUGAUUCCAAAAAUCAUUAGAUUUAAGAACAAUUUAAUUUGUAAUCGACGAGCUCUCAUGACAGAACCUUUUAAAACUUGAAUUCAAUUAGGAAAAGCUCACCAUUUCUGGAACCACUUAUUUAAUGGAUAAAAUAAUAACACAAUUCAAUCAGAGAGAGGAAAAAAUGGGAAAGGUGAGUGGACCUGAUAUAAGCUCCCUUUUACUGCCAUCUGAAGAUGAACGGUACCAUUGUAUCGUACACUUGGAAAGAUCAGGAGCAUCAUUGGAGCAAGGUCUAACUCGCAAACAAGAACCUAGAGCUUCAGUGCCAUCUAUUUCAUAUAUAAGGGAUAUGUUUUCCUCGCUCUUUCUGCACAUUGCGAGCUGAAUUAACAAAAAAUGUGUAAUUCAGUAUCAGAAUCCAUCUCCUUGUCAGCCACAUAACAGUCACAAAUGCACUCAUAUGGGAGUAUAAUUAUAAGGACCUGGAAUACACUAAGUAAUACAUGUGUUCCUGUGUAUGUUUGUAUAUGUGUAUCGAAUAUGAAAUCCAAAUAACCUUCUUUUGGAGUUGAAGAAAAUGUUUUGAUUUCUCUGCAAGCUGAUUCCUUAGUGCUCGAAGCUCAUAUUCCAUGUCCAUUACCUAAAACAAUGCACAUGAUUUGACUUUUUAGCAACAAGAUAAGAUAUUACAGAAGCAUCGAUUUAGACAGACAGAUCAUUAAGUCUUGGUCCACAAAUAAACCUACCCUGCUUGGCUGAUGCAGCAUUUUAAUCCGCCUAGCUUCUUGAACUUCCUUCAUUAAAUCUUCCAUGUCCUGAUAUAACAAAGUAAACAAUACUAUGUUUACAUGGGUUAUAUAAUUAUUGACAAGAAAAUGAAACAACAAGCUGGUUUAAAUAUGCAAAAGUGAAAUCAGCAUAAGCUGGAGAUAUCUUGAAUGGCACAUGAAUCAACAAUAUAAGCAAAGGACAUUUACUAGUUUAUGAUAGAAGCCAUCGCUAAAUACCUGUUUCCCAGAGGCCCGGGACAUCUGUUCAUGUUCUCGCAGGGCUUCUUCCACUCUUUGUACAGCUGCUCUUGCACUUUCAAUCUCAGCACGUGCAAAAGCUCUUUCCUCGUCAACAAGUUUCUUAGCAUCCUCUGAGGCCUAGUUAAAGAAUUGUACCCACUAAUCAGCAAGUAAAAAAAAGAACAUGUGUGCAUAUUUUUAAGCUAGGCCAACCAGUAACCACUAAUCCACAGCCGACAACAGAAGAAUAGAUGAGAAAACAAACAAGAGUUUGCCUUCAUUUCCCACGCAAGGUAAGAAAGUACAUCAAGAAUUGGAUAUGAAAGAUUAUGUCUGCAAAGAACUACAUCAUAGUUCUUUAUCAAAAGUAAUAGAAUAUAAACUACUCAAAUGAAAACAAAAAGGACAGGCUCUCUAUUUAUAAUCUGGCUACCUCAAGGACUAACAAAAACUGCAUGGUAUUAAGCCGUGGACGAAACCAUAUUUGCUAUUUUAGAGGACUUGGUUGUUUCAAGUGAAAGACAUAGAACGACUCGUAAAUAUACCUCAAUUGAUACAAGAAAAGAAAUUCUGUCACCUUCUGAAAAGAGCACACUUUACCUGCUUCAAGAAAGAAGCCAGCUUCUUCACUUCCGCUUUUUCUAUGAACAGCUCUCCUUCUCGCUGAGUCAACUGAACAGCUAGAGCUUCAACCUAGCAGAAAUCACAAAUUCCAAACAUGCUUAAGAAAUAGAGGAAAGAGGAAAAAGGAGAGGUGGGAUUGCAAGACAAAUCAUGAAAGCAAUAUUGAAAAGCGAAAGAAAUACAUUUUGGUUUUCAGAAAGGCAAGCGGCUAUAAAUACCACCACAUAAAGUACUGGAACUAUAUAUGAUGGCUUAAAGAACAGAGGAUAAGAUUGCAGGAGAGCGAUUCUUUGAUAAAAGAAGUGACUAUAAAAGACUAACCAUGGCAAUGGCUUCCUCUACAUCAUCCUUGUUUCUACCUGCCACACGUCCUCUUAGAGACUCCAAUGCAUCUCGAAGUUUCUUUAAAAGAACAUGUUUCUCCAAGGAAGUUGCUUCUUUAAGUUUUGCCUGCACUCAUUCCCCAACGAAGUUAGCUUUAAAUUUUCUUUCAAUCAUCAAAUAUUUACUUUAGCAACCUAGAUUGGCCUUCUUGAUUAUUUCUGUAUUUAUAACAAAACAGUUUCUUAAAUGCCACCUUUUUAGAUCCUAUUAAGGAGACUCCAUCAACAAAAAAUCAAACAUAAAUGUGCAAAUCAACUCAUUACAUAGUAACCAAAGAUAGUAGUAACAAGGCAAGAGACACAUUUCAUCUAUAAGACCUCAACAAAAAGAGAGAACUUUUGUUAUGAUAAUUUCAAAACCUAAAAAAAAAGAAUGCAAGCCUAUCUUUAACUUCAGAGAAAUUGAGAAGCCUCUAAUCUCCAUAGUUAUAGAUAAUAGUAAAAGAAGCUGAAAAAAUGAUAUCAACCAUAAGAUUAGGAUAAUAUCAGACCUCCUCGGAUAGCUUAGCAGCUGCAGCCAAUCCCUUCUCAAAUUUGUUAGCGAGGUCACGAACAGACAAACGUUUUUGCUGGUCCAUAAGCUGCGCUGUCUCACGCGCAACAACCUCUUUCAUCGACAUCACUUUAGGGUCAUCUUUAACAUCAAAUAUCUGAUCAUUAGCUCCAAUUCUAUAAUUAGGAAAUCUACUUGAAGCAAAUUUCACAUCUGCUGAUACUGCAGGAACACCAUCUCUCUGUAAUGAAUCCCGGAAAUCGCGUGUAACUCUUGUCAUUUUAUCUGUUUAUAAAACAAAAGCAAAAAUGCUUAGACAUGAAAGAAUUUAAACAAAACAAAGAAUACAAAAUAAAAGACAGAAAAUGGCAGUAGAUAUCUAACCACUAUGAAUAGUAAUAUGCUCCAAUGGACUCACAGAUCUGUUCUUGAAUCUUCACAAAAUCUGAAACAACAAAAACAAAAGAUUGAUUCUUCGACAUCAAACUAAGAAACUUAUGCCAAUGUUGGAGAUAACAAUGGAUUCAACACACAUUUAAGCAAGUUAUCGUCAUAUAGAUAAAGAAUUGAAGCAAGUCAAAACCCUAGAUUACCAAACAAAAGAGCUAACCUUCAACUACCCAUAUACCAAUUUAGUAACAACUUUCAAAGAAGAUAGAAAAUUGAGAGUCAAAUUUAGAAACUUGAAAUCCAAAAUCAGAACACAAAACACUGUAAUAAUCUGAACAAUGUCGGAAAUUUCAGAAACGAACUUCAAAAGAACAAAGCUAAAGACUUGUCACCUGAAUCCGAUUGAUAAAUCAGACAAAUGUUUGCGUUGAAAUCGAUGAUGAGAAGGUCGUCGGGUAUAGAGAAGGAAGAAGAAGAAGAUUUGGUCUGAGGAGAAGGAAAAAGUGAGUUUGAUAGAGUCGUAAGCAUUAGCUUUACUAAAAAGCAAAGACCGUGAAAAAAUUGUGGCUUUGGUGGAAACAAUGUCUUUUUUUUUUUUAAAAAAAUUUAAUUUGGUUUUGAAGUUUUCUGGUAUAGGUAAUAAAUUGUUUUAGAAUUUUCAACUCCGGUUGAUGUGUGUCUCUGUCGUACUGUUGUUGUCUGAAACUUCAAAAUCUCAGAGCGGGUCACGGGUUCUGUUUCGUGUUUAACUGCCACGAUAUUCUUUUUAAUUAUUUUCUAACUAUUUUUUUAAUUAAAAUGAGGUGACUAAACAAGAGUGGUUUGGUGUGAAACUUAGACCUUUCUUACACAAAUUUGGUAAACUAAAACUUAUUUUAAUUAAAUCUUACAAUGCCCUAAAUUAGGUUUUUCCUUUUAAAAAUAAAAUAAAAAAGAUGGAUCCAAACAUCUUUAGCACACAAAAAAGUACCAAAAAGAUAUAUAUAUAUAUAUAUAUAUAUAUAUAUAUAUAUAUAUAUAUAUAUAUAUAUAUAUACAAAUCAAUUAUGAGUUCUACAUCACAGCAAAAAAAAAAAAAAACUUUCAUGAUAAACACAAAACUUGCUCUAUUAAGGAAAUUCGUAGUUUAUGAUUGUUUUUUUUUCAUGAACUAUGUCUUGCGGGUUGAUAUUUAUUUUUCGGAAGAUUUGCGGACAAGCCGGCAUGAGUAUUAGAGCAAAAAAGCCGUCUAGGAGUUUUAAUAUUACUGUACCGAGUUUAGUAUGAUCCGACUUUAAUCCGCUGACUCGACAACUCCAAUAUAACCUGAAUAUGAAACUCUUUUACUAAGUUAGAGGGUUCGGAAUAAGUACAACUCCCCUCUAUAAGUGAUCCUCUCGAAUUGUUUGGGGAGAUUUGAAUUUAGGGUUUUGAGAAUGAAAGAAACAAAACCACUAUUGUGGCGAAAUUAGACCAUAAACAGAAUUGGAAGAAGAAGAGGAAGAUUUGGUAUGAGGAGAAUAAAACAAAUGAAGUUUGAAUGAGAUGUAAGCAUUAGCAUUAUUCAAAAGUAAAGUCCAUGAAAAAUUGUGGCUUUGGUGGAAACAAUGUUGUUUUUCUUUUAAAAUUUUGAAAUAAAAGUUUAAAAACAAAAUUCAACCACUCUUUGUGGUGAAGAUAAAUUAUGAAAAAAAUGUUACGGUGAAAAUUUUUAGAUAAUAAAUUGUUUCACAAUUUUCAUAUCUGGUUGAUGUGUGUCUCGAUCCUACUGUAGUCUCAAACUAAAAAAUCUCAUUUGGUCACGGCAUCUGUUUUGCGUUUAAGGCCAUCUGCAAUGGCCCAACACCUUGGGUGUUCUUGGACUUUUUUAAUUGGAUAAUAUUGUGAACAGUGGCCGAAGAACAUGUUGUUGGGUCUUGAGGUAGAACUGAUUUUGGGCUUGUUCUUGUAUGACGUGGCAGGCCGUGAAUGGGUACAAUUUUUAGCAAAGGAGUUGAUUGAAAAUAUUUGGAAUAAAUUUGGACAAUAACCUAUGUAUUAAUUAAAUAAAAUGUUUCUAUGCUUUUAUUAAGUAAUAUGUUUGUUUUUUUAUUUAUAUCUUUAAUAUUUUUUUUUCAUAAAAAUUUGGUAUUGUAUUUUCACUUUUAUUUUAAGUUUGUAAAUUUUGUAAUUUAAAUGUUAUUUUUAAAUGUUUUUAUAAUUGUAAUAUGUUUAUUAUUAUAUUAUUAAAUCUUCUGAUCUUAAACAUGUUUUCCCAAUAACCAAUUUAUUAACAAAAGAUCUAAACUCCUGAUCUUAUAUUAUUUUAACAAUAUUUUUAUUCUAAGCACACUCAAAACAGUUCCCCCAUUGCGGAUGCCCUAACUGCCGUAAUUUUAUUUUAAUUAUUUUACUUUCCCAGAAAAUGAGAAUUUAUUAUUGUUUUAACCAUUUUUAAGGGGAAAGUAUUCAGAUGAUGACAUUAGAAAGCCUGGUUUUGCCCCAAAAAAAAAAAAAGACUGGUUUUGGAUUUCUAGACCUUUCAUACACAAAUUUAGAAAAAUCCCGAAGUCUCUUCACUCUUGUAAGUUGUAACGAAACACUUUGAAUUGAAUGAUGAGACAAGUCAAGGUCUUUGUAUAAAACACUCCUAAUCGUUUGAUAUAUAUAAUGUGGUUUAAGACACACACCAGAAAAUAAGUUAAGUCAAGUCAACAACAAUCAUAACCGUGUGAUACAUGUGUGGCUUAAGACACAUAUAUACACCACGAAAUAAGUUAAGUGAAGUCAAGUCAUGUGAAGAUCUGUAUAGUAAGCAAAAAACUUUUAUUUAAACUUUUGCUUAAAUAGGAAUCCUAAGCACGUAUACUUGCAGAAACAAGGUAGAUUCAAGCUUUGCCUUGGAUAGAAAUAUCCAAGAAUUUAGCUGAAAAGAUCUUAAGACAUCAUACGUUUCGCUGAAACGAUGAAAACAUCGACAAUGCGGAGCCAUGCUCGACGCCAAGCACAAUCAAAGCACAUAAGUACAACAAUGCUUAUCAACACGGUCACAUAAACUGAAGCAGCGCUAUAAUAGAAGAUCAACAUGUCAAUAGCAACUUCAUUUCCUUCUUCUCCUCCAUUAUUUGCUUCCUCUGAGCUAUUCUUAGCCUCACAACUUCUAUCGGUCGGUGGUCCACAAAGAAGAGGAUUGUCUAAGUAGCUGCUCUCUUUGAAAGUGUUAAAUUGCUUUCCUUGGGGAAUGAUUCCUGAUAAGUUGUUAUUGGGCCAUAUGGGCCUCGGUUUAGCUUAGCUUAGCCCAUAAGAUAUUGCUGUAACAUGUUUACUAGGUUUAACAUUGUACGUUUGUAUAUAAGCCGAUGAGGCCGUAUCAAUACAUUAAGAAAUCCUUUCAUAAACUGCUAUAAGGUUUUAACAUGGUAUCAGAGCCUAGAUCUGACCUCUCUUGAUCUAGUUUUUAAAAAAUUCCGCUUAUUCACCUCUUUCUUUGACCUAAUCUCUGUUAAAAACUUCUGCUAACAGAGAGAUUUCUUAAAAGAUGACUUCAUCAUCGUCUUCUACCUCGACAAGUUCAGCUCUCACGUCUUCCAUGGUUGACACUAAAAGGAAGACGAUUUCUCUGUAUGACUUGUCAUCUAGCGAUAAUCCGGGCGUCAUAAUUUCAAGACCUUUACUACGUGGUCCAAAUUAUGAAGCUUGGGCAACGAACAUACGUUUGGCUUUAACUGCACGCACGAAAUUUGGGUUCGCAGAUGGAUCAAUUCCAAAACCAGAAGAAAAUUCAGAAAACUUUGAAGAUUGGAUUGCCAAUAAUGCUUUGGUAGUCUCGUGGAUGAAAGUGACAAUUGAAGAGAAUAUCUCUGAUUCAAUUUCACAUCUAGAUGACUCACAUGAACUUUGGACACAUAUUAAGAAGCGUUAUGGUGUGAAGAAUGGUCAGCGUGUCCAAAGGUUGAAGACUGAAUUGGCCACAUGUCGUCAAAGAGGAUCUACUCUUGACGAGUACUACGGCAAGCUCUCGGGUCUGUGGAAGAGUUUGUCUGAUUAUCAACAGGCAAAAACAAUGGAGGAAGUACGAAAGGAGAGAGAAGAGGACAAGCUACAUCAGCUUUUGAUGGGUCUCGACGAAACCAUUUAUGCUACGGUAAAAUCUUCUAUGUUAUCUCGUGUUCCAUUGCCAUCGUUGGAAGAGGCAUAUAACGUUUUGCAGCAAGAAGAUGAAUCCAAGUUGGCGAGUCGUUUCCAUGCCGAGAGGACCGAUGGGGUGAGUUUUGCAGUCCAAACCCAAUCUCACUCAUUACCGUACGCUGAUCACAGAAAUCACACUUGCAAGUUGUGUGGAAAGAUUGGUCACUUUGAUGAGAACUGUUUUAAGAAGAUCGGAUAUCCACCAUGGUGGGUUGAGAAGCCAAGAAACAAACCCAACAACAGUCGUGUCACGACAGCAGCUCCGUCUCAAAUGUCUCGUGGCCGUGGCUCUGUUGAUACAUCAUGUGGCGGACAAGCAAAUGCUGUGAUGGUCUCACGUUCGUCGGGUUCAGCUUUGCACACCGCCACAAUCACCGACGCGGACAGAGUAGGGUUAAGUGGGCUGAAUGAUCAUCAAUGGAAAUCACUUGUUCAGAUGCUUGAGGAAAGAAAAUCAACCUCCACUGAACGUCUCAAUGGUAAGUGGUUUCUUGAAUCUUGGAUUAUUGACAUUGGUGCUUCUAAUCACAUGACAGGUUCCCUGGAUUUUUUGAAUGAUAUUUUCGACAUGCCUCCGGUUUUAAUUAAACUUCCUGAUGGUCGAUUCACUACUUCGACAUGUCAAGGAACAGUUCAGUUGGGAUCUUCACUACGAUUAUCUGCAGUGUAUUUUGUUGAUGAGUUAAAAUGUCAUCUAAUCUCCGUCUCACAGCUGACCCGUGACAGUGGUUGUGUGUUUCAGAUAACUGAUCGUCUAUGUGUGGUCCAGGAGCGCAUUUCGAGGACGGUGAUUGGUGCGGGUGAGCAAAGAAACGGUUUGUAUUUUUUCCGGGGGGUUGCGGUUGCGUCAGCAGUACAAAGGUCGGAUUCACAGUCUUUGGCGUUGUGGCACAAGCGUUUAGGACACCCUUCUUCUAAAGCAUUAAAUUUGUUGGAUUUUUCUAAGAGUAGUAGUUCUUUUGAUUCACAUUCUUGUGAGAUUUGUAUUCGAGCAAAACAUUCAAGAGAUUCUUUUCCAUUGAGCAAUACUACUUCUCAAAUGGCUUUUGAAUUAAUUCAUUGUGAUCUCUGGGGACCAUAUCGGACUUCAACACUUUGUGGUUCUCGAUUCUUCUUGACUAUUGUUGACGAUUACUCACGAGCAGUGUGGAUAUAUCUUCUUACUUCCAAACAAGAAGCUCUAACUCAUCUCAAAAAUUUUCUAGCUCUUGUUGAGCGCCAAUUCUCGACUCACGUUCGUACGGUACGCAGCGAUAAUGGGUCCGAAUUUAUUUGUCUCCGAGAUUUCUUCGCAGAGAAAGGCAUCAUUCAUGAGACAUCGUGUGUGGGUACACCACAACAGAAUGGUCGCGUUGAGCGCAAACACCAGCAUAUACUAAACGUUGCUCGGGCACUUCGUUUUCAAGCCAACCUACCCAUAGAAUUUUGGGGUUACUGCGCGCUUACUGCAGGCUAUCUCAUUAAUCGCACUCCCACCAAACUUCUCAAGGGAAAAACACCAUUCGAGCUGAUUUAUGGUCGUCCUCCUCCUCUUGAACAUUUGUGUGUUCUUGGGUGUCUUUGUUUUGUUCAUAAUCAAAAACAUGGAGGAGACAAAUUUGCUCCACGAAGUAAGAGAGCUGUGUUUUUGGGUUAUCCUUUUGCGAAAAAAGGAUGGCGAGUUUAUGAUCUUGAAACCGGAUUGGUUUCUGUUUCACGUGAUGUGAUUUUUCAUGAGGAUGAAUUUCCUUUUGUUUUAUUGGGCAGUGAUGAGAAGAUGGAUUUGCAGUCCGACUCUUCACCACCAAUUCUUCUCUCCGAUGACGACAUUCAAAGGGCUGAGGAUAUUGACUCUGCUCCCGCUCCUCUGUCUUCACUUUUGCUUUCACCGGAAUCAACUUCACAAGAUUCCAGUGAAUCGGAAGACCCGGUGACUCCUAGAACAGUGGUCACGCCAGAUUCAUCUCUUUCGUCAUCACCUGCGACUUCUCCCGUCACACCUGCAAUUUUUCCCGACACACCUGCAACUCCUCCCAUCAUAUCUGCAGCUUCACAGUCAUCGGAAAAGUCUGCAGAAUUGUCCACUUCUACGACUCUGUCUGACACUCCGGUUACGCCUUCUUCAGUCAAUUCUGAUACUCCGGUUUUGACAGCACCCAGUCCAGAAAAAUUAGGACCUGGCCUUCGUAAAAAGAAACGACCAGUUAAACUUGCAGACUAUGUCACAAUGCUCCUCCAUCAACCACAUCCAUCGGCAACUCCAUAUCCAAUUGACAAUUUCCUCUCUAGCUCACGGUUUACCGAUUCAUAUCAAGCGUUCUUGUUGGCUAUCACUUCUGGUACUGAGCCGAAAUUUUAUAAAGAUGCUGUUCUAGAAGAAGAAUGGAGAAAUGCAGUUCAAGAUGAAAUUGUGGCACUCGAAGACAACGGUACAUGGACAGUUGAAACUCUUCCUCAAGGCAAGAAAGCGCUGGGUUGUAAAUGGGUAUUCAAAUUGAAAUACAACGCCGAUGGUACGUUGGAGAGACAUAAAGCUCGGUUAGUGGUACUUGGGAAUAAUCAAACCGAAGGUGUUGAUUUUAAUAAGACAUAUGCGCCUGUUGCAAAAAUGGUUACGGUUCGUGCAUUCUUACAACAAGCCGCAUCGAAUGACUGGGAGGUACACCAAAUGGAUGUCUACAAUGCUUUCUUACAUGGUGAUCUAGAUGAGGAAGUGUUUAUGCAAUUCCCACCGGGAUUUCGUACCGAAGAUAAGUCACAGGUUUGUCGUCUUAAAAAAUCUUUGUACGGGUUGAAACAGGCGCCUCGAUGUUGGUUUGCAAAGUUGGGUUCAGCUUUAAAGGAAUAUGGUUUUGUUCAAAACGUGUCAGACUACUCAUUGUUCACGUUCGAUGAUUCUGUUGCUUUUCUCAACGUGCUUGUUUACGUCGACGACAUUAUCAUCUCCGGCAGCUCGUUAGCCAUUAUUGAAAAAUUCAAGUGUUACUUAAGUGAUUGUUUUCACAUGAAGAACCUUGGUCUUCUUCGGUAUUUUUUGGGUAUUGAAGUAGCUCGGAAUUCUACGGGAUUCUAUCUUUGUCAACGCAAGUAUACACUUGAUCUUCUCACAACUACGGGUGUGUUAGGUGCCAAGCCGGUCGCUUUUCCUAUGGUGCAAAAUCAUAAACUCGCAGUGGCUAAGGGAGAGCCUAUUCCUGACCCACUUCGUUAUCGUCGCCUCAUCGGGAAGUUGAUUUAUCUUGGUGUUACACGACCAGAACUGUCAUACGCAAUCCAUAUCUUAUCGCAAUUCAUGAGCCAGCCAAAGGAACAACAUUGGACUGCAGCUCUUCGCGUUCUUUGCUACUUGAAAAGUAGUCCGGGACAAGGUAUUUUUCUCCGUGCAAACACACCUCUUGUUCUUACUGCGUGGUGUGAUUCAGAUUGGAGUUCCUGUCCUGUUUCUCGUCGGAGUCUCACUGGUUGGUUUAUUCAAUUGGGUGGCUCUCCUAUCUCAUGGAAAACAAAGAAACAUGAUGUCGUUUCUCGCUCUUCAGCAGAAGCUGAAUAUAGAGCGAUGGCUGACACCGUUUGUGAGAUCUUGUGGCUGCGUGAGUUAUUACCUGCUUUGGGAAUUGAUUGUACUGCUCCCACGACGCUUUACUCGGACAGCUUAUCUGCCAUUAGCCUUGCCAAGAACCCAGUCUAUCACGCUCGCACGAAGCAUAUCGAAAACGACUUGCAUUUUAUUCGUGACGAGAUUAUACGUGGUGCCAUUGUUCCUAAACACAUUUCCACGACUUCACAGCUGGCCGACGUCAUGACUAAGGCAUUGGGGAAGACGGCAUUUGAAGCUUUUUUACUCAAGAUGGGUGUUCGGAAUCUCCACACUCCACCUUGAAGGGGGGGGGGGGGUAUUGGGCCAUAUGGGCCUCGGUUUAGCUUAGCUUAGUCCACAAGAUAUUGCUGUAACAUGUUUACUAGGUUUAACAUUGUACGUUUGUAUAUAAGCCGAUGAGGCCGUAUCAAUACAUUAAGAAAUCCUUUCAUAAACUGCUAUAAGGUUUUAACAGUUGUUGUGAGACACGUCGAACACCUCAAGAAAUGUAAGCAUGUUUAGUUGGUAAGGAAUGCUUCCAUGUAACAUGUUGUAUGAAAGAUCGAGGCUCUCAAUAUCUGUCAGAUUGGAGAAGCUUGAUGGUAUAGAACUAGAUAAAAAAAUUGUGAGAUAGAUUCAGGGCUUUUACUUUCGGGAGAUCUCCAAGCUCUGUUGGGAUUACACCACUUAAUUCAUUGUUCGACAGGUCCAUCCCAUACAUGUAAUCAAGAACUCCUCCUUUGUACUCUAUUCUUCCUGCAGUAUAAGAUUCAUACCUUUGCUUCGAUGCAAAUUCGAUUCCAAUUUCUUCAUAAGUUUCGUAUUGAACCACGAGCUCCUCUACCACAAAUGUGAAUUUGUAAAUAUCCAAGGUAAAGCGCUCUAGGUUAAAAAAUAUUCCAUAGAGAGGCCAAAACAUCUGUACCCCAGAGAAAGUAUAAUGAGACCUUCCAACAAUGUGUCUGGAAUCGGCCCUGUGAAGCUGUUGUUGUGGAGGAAUAAAUAAAUCACACCCAUAUGUGAUAGUAAGGGUCCAGACAAUAUGUUUCCAGAAAGGUCCAGAUGUGAAAGAUGGGGCAAGUCCACCAAAGAAGGAGGUAUUGUACCUUCUAAUAAAUUGUUUGAUAACAAUAAGUCCUCCAGAACAUAUAACAUAGAUAGCCAACUUGGAAUAGCACCUGUGAGACGAUUGUUGGACAUGUCAAGAAACGACAACCUGGUGGAGCCAAGCAAACCAACUCCAAUCUUCCCUGUAAAUAAGUUGUUAGGGAUUGUCAACUUACGCAAGGAAGUGAAUCUUGUUCCUCGUGGAAGACAAUUGCCGGUGAAUUUGUUGUGAGAAAGCAUCAGAUAUUUUAGCGAAAAACAACCCAUGAGAACGCUUCUCGGUAGCUUCUUAGAGAAGUUAUUAUAAGACAGAUCCAACAGUGAAAGGUUCUUCAUCUCACCUAUAGACGAAUGUAAUUGUCCUUGAAACCCAUUAUACGAGCCAUUCAUCUCUACCAGAUUCGGAAGUGCACGACCAAUAUUAUUAGUGAACACCCCACCAAUAUGAUUUGCUGAAAAAUCCAAAAAUUGCAAAUUAUGCACUUUUGAAGGUAUUUGAAAGAUUGUGAAUGAAUUCUCUUGCAACUGUAAGACUUUAAGUUCUGAAUUAUUCGCCAACAACCAAGUAGGAAUGUCUCCGGAUAAUCUGUUUCUGGAUAGAUCAACGAGAUGCAAGUUCUUCUGGUACAUGAGAAAUGAAGGGAUUUUCUCUAAGUUGCAAGAUCGUAGUAUAAUAACACGCAGUUGAAAGUUUGGAUGCCAAGUGCUCUCCAUCUUUACUUGUACCUUAUGCGAUGUUGAUGAAAGUUUUACCACCUUGAGCUUUGUGAGGUUGGUGAGUGGAUUGAGAGAGAAUAAGCUUGUGAAGUUGUUAUCCAACAAUGAUAGAUACUCAAGAGACUCAAGCCUACUGAAACUAGACUGUAGAUUUCCACUAAGUCGGUUGGAUGAGAGGUCAAGGACCCGUAGCUUUUUCAAGCUACCUAAACAAAGAGGAAGUUGGCCUACAAAACGGUUUUGUCUGAGAUCGAGCUCCUACAGAUUCUUCAUUCUACAAACUACUGCAAAAAAAUAAUUUGGAAAACACUAGAGAUAAUGAGAAUAAUAAGAGUCGAUGCAUUCAUCUCGAGAAGUCACAAUACACUUCUCAUACAUAUCGUAGAGGUGUAAAACGCAAAGGUCACCUUCUAUUGGUAUAGGUCCGUCCAAAUCGUUCUCAGCAAGACCCAAGACUUCCAAGUUAGUCAAAUUCUUUAGAUCUGAGAUAAUACAAAAGCCAAAGGGUUGUAAUUUACAAAAUGAUCAUAUCGAAAUAUAAAUAAGUUAUAUUCAUAUCCAUUCCCAACAACAGAAUGUUAAACAUUAAAACCAUGCUUGCCUUGCAAUUCCAUAGAGCCCAUUGAGCUAGAAUAAUAACUGGUACUUAGAUUCAGAGCUUUCAGGCUUUUCAGGUGAGUCAGUGCUGCCCCAAGAAUAAGAGAGAUGACGAAAGACACGUACUAGUUAGUAUGGAGAAGAUGAUCUUUGAGAUGGCAAAUCAACAAAUAUGUACGGAUUUAAAUCUGUUAAAAGUUAUAUUCAUAAGAUAAAUGACAGUGACAAUUAACGUGGAUGUUACCUGGAAUGGAACCGUGAAAAUCAUUACGACUCAGAUCCAGCAACUCCAAGUUUGUCAAGUUCUUUAGUUUUGAAAGGGAGUCCAUGAGAAUAUUAGAAUGAUAACUAAGAACUGCAAUUUGCACAAAAAAAAAAAAACUAAGAACUGCAAUUAAGACAUAAAAUUACAUAAACCAAACAUACAUCAUCAAUGAGUAGGCUAUGCUCGAUAGGCACCUCGUUAUACUAAUGGAAAAUACACACCUUUAAUAGACAAAUCUGUUACGGAGUUAUCGUGAAGAAUAAGAGUUGUAAGUGACGUCACGGCAUUAAGAAAAGGAAAUAUGUUGUUGUUGAAUUCAUUUGAAGAGAGAUCCAGAAUCUCCAGGUAUUUUAAUUUUCGUAAGCUUUUAUAACCUGCAAAGAAAUGUAUAUAUCGUUAACAUAGUAUACAAAAAUAAGAUAGCCCUUAACACUUCAAUAAGUUCAAUUAUAAAAUUUAGUCUACUCUAGAUGAAAAUGCAUGUAAUUAAGAGAGUUGAACUGUAUGAGAUUGAAGAAAACGUGACUCUAGCCAUUGGAUGUAAUUAUAUUGUGCACUACAUGGCAAUAUACAUAAUACAUCAACAAGUCGGUUGAUGUAGAAAAAGGUACUAUCACCUUUUGAUUAACAUAGAUUUAAAGAAUUAACACGGAGAAUUAGAUUUAGCCUAUCUAAAUUUAAAAACUUUCAAAGUUUUAUUUCCAAAUAGAGACCACAAGGGUAAACUCAACACUGUGAAAAGCCUGAUAUACCUUCAACAUCAUCAAUGAAGCCAUUGAAUGAGCCGUCCUUGACUUGUGUCCACAUAGAUAAGUUAAGACUUCGAAGUUCUUCAAAAGGAUGCAGUGAUAGUAGGAUUUUGCCUAUCUAACAGGUAUCAAUCCCUAAUACACAUGCCAUUGUAGUAUAUUAGGUUAUCAAUCCAAUCUCAGUGUGACUGCAAGCAUUUAAGAUAUGCACAGAAAGCAGAUAAGUCAAGCCAAUUGUGAAAGGGUUUUGUGUGUUUCUAUUGAUCCUAGCAACCAAUUUAACAUGCAAAUACCAAAUUUAAAAGCAUAAAAAGAGAACUAAACAGCAAGUAAACAAGAACAAGAAGUAAACUAAAGACCAGAAACUAUCAUGCAUAAACUUUGGAAAAGAAACUAGCAACCUAACAAUGCAGAGAAACGAUCUAGGCCUAACAGGUCGAGAUGGUCAACAGAGACUAACAGAAACAAGAUUUAAACAAUCAAUAGAGAUAAAGGGUCUUGAGGAAUGGGGUAAUCGAUUAUGGCAGUCUCCUUAGUCUACCUAGGUGGUUAACAAACUCAAUCAAGCUAUCCCUAGACAAUAGAUUCGAAUACAAAUCAAUCCACUCUCGUGACAGAGAUUCUCAAGCUAAAUCACUUUCAUACUCAAUUCUCAUUGAAGAAAUAUAACCUAGCAGGCAUUAUGAUUCAAUCUAAUAAAGUCAAUAAGCAUUCUAAACAUCCAAUCUCUUGGGCUAGAGUAUGCAAAUCUCUGGAAAAGUUUGUUCAGACAUUUCAUCAAACACCUUUUGGGUGUGGAAAUGUCUGAGAUCAAUUUCCAAUUGAUCAGAGAAGAAAUAGCAUUAAGAUCUACUAAACCAGAAGGGAAAUCAAGCAAUUCUACACUUAACCACCUAAAUAUACUAAGGAUUCCACACCUAAUCUAUCCCAUCCUCAAGAACCCUAAUCCACUACUCAAGAACACUGAAGAACAUCAUGCAUAAAAACCCAGAAAACGUUUCAAACCCAGAAAUCAUUAAAAAGCAAGUAUGUUAUAGAUGAGAAUGAGAUCUACAACUUUGAUGAAGAAACGAAAUCCAAAAACUCAAAGGAUCAAAGGGAAAAACGAUUACAAAACUAGGGUUUUUAGAGAGAACAAAGGAAUAUCUGCUGGGUAAAGAGAAUAUCCCCUGGAUAAAAGGGUGUACCCCUAUUUAUAGGAAAUACUAGGUUGCCCUAAUUGGCUACAGGACAAAAUAGAGAGUCGGUGGAGGCCAACUCGACGUGUCGUCGAGCCUGACACGUCGAGACCAAGUGAUUCUCAAAGGUGGCGCCUUGAUGUCCAUCUCGACGUGACGUCGAGCCUGUCUGGUCGAGUCUGCUCCCAGGCUGCUUCUUGGCGUCCAUCUCGACGUGACGUCGAGCCUGUCUGGUCAAGACUGCUCCCAGGCUGCUUCUUGGUGUCCAUCUCGACGUGACGUCGAGUCUGCACGUCGAGACUGCUCCCAGGUGAUCUUGAACGACUUCAUUCUUCUCCAAUUCGAUCCCAAGUCUAGCUCCAAGGUCGUGUUGGUUCCUCCUUGCUCCAUUAAGUCCCAAAUAAGCUCCAAAGUACCUAAAACUCAUCCAAUAUGCAACAUGCUAUGCCAUGCAAUGCAAAUCGUACUAAGUGAUGAAAAUCUUAUGAAAAAAGGACUAUUAAUGCAGUGAAACAGAGAGGAAACUAAGCUAAAUGCAUAAGAAAUGUGUGCUAAAAAGAGGUAAAAUACAGAGAUAUCAACUCCCCCAAACUUAGCUCUUGCUUGCCCUCAAGCAAACAAAUAGAACCAAGCUGGAGAAGAGGUUUGAAAGUGGAGACUCAGAACCAAAACAUGCAUAUAGAGUAAGUGAAUUCAAUGUCCAGGUUGCUAAUUCUAGAAUGCAAGGUUGACUGAUCUCUACUUAAAAACAUUAGCCAUCUUCUUCACAUCUCAACCUAACCUCUGCCUUAAUCAAAUCAAGCAUUCAAAUCUGCACAUUCCCUUUAACAUUUAUUAAGUAGGAACCGUGAAUCAUACUAUGCAAUGGAUAUGAACACAUUUGGCUAAAGGGUAAAGGUUUUAGAGACAAAGAUGGUCCCUUAAAGAUCUGGUUUAAAUCGUAACAGGGGAUCUCUCAAGAAUGAUUGAGCUUUGGUAGAAUGCUAAAGGUGAGUAUCAAGUUAUGCAUACAAGGAUAAGACCCCAUCUACCCAGAAUGUAAUCAAUAUCAACCCAAAUAGAGGUCCUAUUUCUAAUCCCAGAAUCAUGAACUUAACUCUACCCUUUUGCACUCUAAACAGUUACAGACUUUUACUCACAUCAUUUCUUUCUUUUCUUUGUUUUUCUAACCUAGGAGAAGCUUUCUUACUUUGCUCUGUCUAGCGGAUUAGGAUUCUUUAACAACUAGGGUUCCCUUUUCUUUCUUCUUAUAAACACAAGGCUUUUGCCCAAACUCUUUAAGCUAUUUACAGAACCCUUUUUCCUUUACUUUAGCACACCCAAAUUCUUUACUAGACUUCUCUUACUUUAGCUACUUCUCCUUAGGACUCUUUUCCCUUUUCUUUUCUUUCAAUGAUGAACACAACCUUUUCUUUCUUUUAAACACAACCCAAACCCAGAAUUAAGCACCCACCUAGUCCUAUCUGGUCCAGAUAACGUGAACCAGAACUACAUGAGAUACUAUCCUUGUCGUUACAGACCUAACACUUUCUACCAAGCUCAAUCGGAAUAAGGCCUCACAUUCACACACAAAUGAUAAAUGGCUUGAAAGAAGGUUAAGGCUAAGGGUGGGGAAUAACUGCUCCAAAGAUGAGAGUCAGCUACUUGGACUAGCAAGAGUGAUCAAAAGGUAAAAGAAAGUCCAAGUAUUUUAAGGUAUCCAUGAGUUCAUAGCACAAUGCACAGCAUGAUAAUUAUAAGUCAAAAUUCAAGUUCAAAUAGAUAGGGAAUGGCAUCAGAUCAAAGCGAGAUUCGAAUAAAAACAAGAAAGUCAAGCGUUGAAUUCAAAAGAUGGUGCGGUCUUACUUCAAGUUCAGUCGAUUAUGCAUUAGAGAACUAACAACCAGGGCACUGAGUUCUACUUAGUGAAUAAGCAUAUUUACAAGGUUAUAAUCAUCAUAAUCUCCAAUGCAAAUGCAUGAUGCAACAGCCCUAAGUGAAAGCAUACUAAAACAAUCCUAAAAUGACAAUGCAAGCUAUAUGAACACUCUGUUUUUGUGAAAUCAUUUUCAAAAAAUUUCAAAUUUUUAUGGUUUUUCUAUGCCUUAGAUGCAAUGAUGCAAAAUUUGAAAUAAGAAAACAAAACACAAUGUCAAAUACUCCCUGAGCCCUCCCCCAAACUUAAAUUACACAGUCCUCUGUGUAACAAGCAUUUGGAAGAGAGUACUCAGGGCAAAUCAGAGAAACAAAAUGAAAUGUGGUAUAUACAAUGGUGAAUUGGAGUUGUUACCUCAUGGAUGGGUGAAGAAGGAGGUGAUUGACCUGGUACUGGUGGGCUUCAUGGGCUAACUCGACGUUGGGUCGAGCUAGUACGUCGAGUAGGGCUUCGAUAUUGGUUUGGAGUGGCAAGCUCGACUUGUGGUCGAGUAGGGCACAUCGAGACAAGGCAACUCAUUCUGUUUUGCGCCUUGGCUUCCUUAAAACGCUUUAUCCUGAGACAGUUAAGCAAAAACAUCAAAAAUAACAAGGAAAUAACUAAUAUUCACAAGGAUAGACAUGGAACUUCCUCCCAAGUGAGCUUGUUUAAAGUCUUUAGCUUGACUUCUCACAGUGAAUAAGCUUAGGGUGGAUUGUAGAGAGCAAAUGAGGUCUCAUCUGUUCUGCAGGUGGAUGAAUCAUCUGGCUUAGCAGGCUCUCUUGACAAAUCUGUAGUUGAGUACUCAAUGGCCCUUUUCUCAUAGUAAGCUUCUUGUUGAUCAUCUGGAUAGUCUUCUGCUAUAGACCAUUCUGAAGUGAAUUCACUCCCCUUUUUGCUGACCAUAGUGGAUGCUUCAUCAGUUGGGACGUCCUUGAUUGGGAGUGGUUUUUGGUUGGCUAUCCCAUGUAGCUUCUUGAUUUGAUCAUUCAGCUCUCUCACAGUGCCUGUUAGCUCCCUUAUGGCUAUAUCCUGCCAUUUGGACCUCUCCUUGAGUUCUAACCAGCCAUCUGGAGCAGAAUUGCUAGACUCUAGCAGCUUAUCACGAUGUUUGGUCGAGCUAGAGUUCUCCAGACGAGUUGUAGGCUUGCUCAAAUGUAUACUCGAGUCAGCUGGUUGAGCAUGUGUUGAGCUUGCUUCAUAUGCUGUCUUAACCACUGUUUUUGACCCAAUCAAGCCUUUAAAGACCUCUGACCCUACUACUUCCUUGUGUGAAUCUAGUGACUUACCACAGCUCAAAGUUUCAGUGAGAAGAUAUUCUGCUUCACCACUCUUAGUCAAAGAAGUUUGUUGGUGAUCUUCCUCAGCAACCUCCUCUAGCUGUUCAUCAGCUAAGCAAUCCAUUACCUUAACUACGAAGGUCUGUCCUUCAAUUGUUGGCUUCCUCGUGGCAUCAUUGAUAUCAAACUUCAUUGUGAAAUCAUUUCCCAGAUUAAGAUCAAUCUUCCCAUUCUUAACAUCAAUGACAGCUCCAGCAGUGGCUAAGAAGGGCCUUCCUAAGAUUAAAGGAUCUUUUGGUUCAUCCAUUUCUAGCACUAUGAAGUCUGUAGGGAUUUCAGCAUUUCCAAUCUUAAUAGGCAAAUCUUCUAAUAACCCAUGAGGAAAUCUGACAGACUCAUCAGCCAGGAUCAAGGAGAUGUUGCAAGGUUUAUACUUGCUGAAACCCAGUCUCUUGGCCACGGAGAGAGGCAUGAGACUUUUAAAAGCACCUAGAUCGCAGAGGCAGUUACUGAAGGCCAAAGUGCCUAGAGAGCAAGGUAAAGUAAACGAACCAGGAUCUCCCAAUUUCUUGGGAAUAAUCUUCGUUUGGAUGAUUUCGCUGCACUCAUGACUCUCCAUCUCUUGCACUUCCUUAAUUCUCUCCAUUACCAUGUCUUUGAAGUACUUGUGAGAAUCCGGAAUCAGCAUGAAAGCAUCAAUGAGAGGCAUCCUUAAUUCAAUCUCCUUGAUGUGUUUAGCAAACAUGGCUCUGUACUUCUCAAUGAUAUCCCUCUUGAAUCUUCCUGGGAAUGGUAAGCUAGAUGUGGAAUUUAUCCCACAAAGCUAUGAAGAAGCUAAGGAAAGCAAGGAAUGGACUAAUGUUGUGGAUGAUGAAGUACAAGCUAUGAUUCGGAAUCAUACAUGGGAUGAAGAAGAACUUCCACAAGGGAAGAGAUGUGUUAGCUCAAAGUGGGUAUUCACCAUAAAGUAUAAGAGUAAUGGUGAAAUUGAAAGACAUAAGGCUAGAUUGGUUGCAAGAGGAUUCACUCAAACCUAUGGAGAUGAUUAUAGGGAAACUUUUGCUCCGGUAGCUAAGCAACACAUCGUAAAAGUUGUUCUCUCUUUGGUUGUGAACUUGGAUUGAGAAUUGUGGCAAAUGGAUGUCAAGAAUGCUUUCCUUCAGGGGGAGUUGAAAGAAGAAGUGUAUAUGACACUUCCUCCGGGUUUAGAAGACAUAGUGGCUCCGGGAAAGGUCUUAAGGCUUCGGAAAGCUAUCUAUGGACUAAAACAGUCUCCAAGAGCCUGGUAUCAUAAGUUAAGCUCUACCUUAUUGGCUAAUGGCUUCAAGAGAUCACAUUCUGACCAUACUUUGUUUACUAAACAAGAUAAUCAAGGUAUCGUAGUAGUUCUAAUCUAUGUUGAUGACUUGAUUAUCUCGGGAAGUAACAAAGAAGGUAUCCAAGCUAUUAAGUCUGCUUUACAUUCUUCUUUUGAUAUUAAAGAUUUGGGUGUUUUGAAGUACUUUCUAGGGAUCGAGGUGUGUAGAUCAAAGGAGGGACUAUUUCUCUCACAAAGGAAAUAUGCCCUCGAUCUCCUAAAGAUUACAGGAAAACUUGGAGCUAAACCGGUUGAAACACCAUUGGAGCAAGGCUAUACGGUCAAUCGAAAGGGGAAGAAAGAUGAUACUCCAUAUCAUUGCCCAGAACAAUAUAGAAGACUUGUAGGUAAGCUUAUAUACUUGACAUAUACGCGACCUGACUUGUCUUUUGCCGUGAAUCAGGUGGCUCAACACAUGCAAGCCCCUACAGUUUACCAUUGGAGCUUGGUGGAGAGGAUUCUGAGAUAUAUCAAAGGGAGUCCCGGUAAAGGCAUUUGGAUGGGAAGAAACUCAAGCACGGAGAUUGUUGGAUAUUGUGAUGCAGAUUAUAAUGGAGAUCGCAAUACAAGACAAUCAACAACCGGCUUUUGCACAUUCAUUGGUGGGAACCUCGUAACUUGGAAAACCAAGAAACAGAAAGUGGUGUCAUGUUCGAGUGCAGAAGCAGAAUAUAGGGCCAUGAAGAAGCUUACAAAUGAGUUAACAUGGUUAAAAGCUCUACUUAAAGACUUCGGGAUCGAGCAGAAGACUCCAAUUACCUUUCAUUGCGAUAAUCAAGCAGCCAUCCACAUUGCUACCAAUCCCGUGUUCCACGAGAGGACCAAGCACAUAGAGACGGAUUGCCACAAGACAAGAGAGAAGAUAGAAGAUGGUACGAUUCUCCCUUGUUACACUAAGAGUUCGGACCAAUUGGCCGAUAUCUUUACCAAGGCAGCAAGUAACCAAGUUUGCCAAUUUAUUCAUGGUAAACUUGGUCUUGUAGACCUGACACAUCCUUGAAAAAUAUUCUCCAACUUGUAGGGAUAAUACUCUUUUUCCCUAAGCUUGGUUUUGUCCCACGUGGUUUUCCAAGCUUAGGUUUUUAAUGAGGUUAUUCAUACAAGUGUCAAGUUUAUACACAAUUGGGCAUUGUGGUAUAAACUUGAGGGGGAGUGUUAAUCAAGAAGACAUUUAACACUAACUAAGUCAUAGUUAAGGGUUAAAUGUAGGUUACUUGGGUUACUCGGGUUACAGGUUACAUGGGUUACUCGGGUUACAGGUUACUUGGGUUACUCGGGUUACUCGGGUUACUCGGGUUACAAGGCUGAAUGAGGGUGCUUUUGGUCUUUGUGCACAACCCAUCUCAGACCUAGAUUAUGUUCUCUAUAUAAACGUGUGUGCCUCCUCAUUGUGUUUCACACAUCUUUCAUUAAUACAUUUCUGCUUCUCUCCAAUCUUAAAUCAUGGUUUCAUCAAUCUUUCCUACUUAAAUAUUAACAAAAAUAAGUCAAGUCAAGUCAACUGAAGAAAACAAACACAGUUGAGCUAUUCGAAUAAUUAAAAAAAGGGCAACACAAUUUUCUUAUUGGAUUUAGGCAAAACCUCAUUCUUAUCGAUUUUGCUUUUUCAAAUCUCUAAAUUUAAGAAAAUUUGAGAAGCUUCUAAAUCCCAUUGGUAUUUAAAGAGAAAAGAAGAUAUCAAACAUAGGAUUAGAAUCAUAUCAUACCUCCUUGGAUAGCUUAGUAGCUGCAGCCAAUCCCUUCUCAAAUCUAUUAGCGAGGUCACGCGAAUAAACAUACGUUUUUUCUGGUCCAUAAGCUUUGCUUGACCUCAUUCAUCGUUAGCACUUUAGGGUCAUCUUUAACAUCAAAUAUCUGAUCAUUAGCCCCAAUUCUAUAGUUAGAAAAUCUACUUGAUUAUGGCUAGUAAAUGGCUAACCACUAUGACUAGUAAUAUUCUCCAAUGGGCUCACAUAUCUGUACUUGAAAAUCCACAUAAUCUGAAAUACAAAAAAACAAUAAUGUUGAGAACAAAACAUUGAUUCUUCAACAUCAAACAAAGAAACUUAUGCUAGUGUUGGAGAUAACAAUAGAGUCCACACACAUAUAAGCAAGUCCAGAGAAAGAAUUGGAGGAAGGCAAAACCCUAGGUUACCAAACAAAGAGUUCCCCUACAACUACCCAUAUACCAAUUUAGUAACAAAUUUCAAAGACGAUAGAAAUUGAGAGUCAUAUUAUGGAACUUGAAAUCCAAAAUCAGAACACAAAACAUUGCAAUAAUCUGAAUAAUGCCGGAAAACAAAGCUAAAGACUUCUCACCUGAGUACGAUUGAUGGGCCGGGACACACAAAUGUUUGCGUAUUAAUCGAAUUUGAGAAGGAAAAAGUGAAGUUUGAUAGCCGACCAGGCUGAACCGGGUUCACAAAACCGUUAGCUUCUCUUUAUUUUAUUCGAGAAAUAUAUGUUUAGAUAUAUGUGUCUAUAUCUAAAUUAUAUAUAAAGAAUAAAAAAUAUAAAAAAACUUUUUCAUAAUUGUAAGAAGUUUAAGUCAGAUAGAAAUUCUUUGAAUAAUUUAUAUCUCAUAUAUUAUCACCCUACCAAAAAAAAAUCUCAUAUAUUUCCAUUAAAAAGUUUUUUUCUUAAAUGGAGUCUAAUGUAUUUUUGUUAAAAAGACCCUUAAUAUAAAAUGAUUUUUUAAAUUAUUACACAGAAGCUAAAUAAAAUAAUUAAUACAGAAUCUAUAUUGUUUGGCCGUAGGAAGAGGACUGUUGGCUGCUAUCUUCUUGACAAACAGACAUGUGUCGCCGGAAUCAUGUUAGCUAUUGUGUUGUGGAGCCUACUCUACUCUCCGAUGCCGGUUAUAAUGAAGAAAUUGAGUCAUCACUAGUAAAUUUUCCAUAAGUUCUAUCUCCAACCUAUGUCUAUAUUUUUUCCCUCCAAAAUAGAGUUUUUCCAUUUUUGGAAUUGGGUUUUUGCUCUAAUCCUAUUCUAUUUUGUAGUUAAAAAUGAAGAUAUUUAAAUUUUAAUGUAAAUUAAAAAUAGAAGUCUCCAAAUAUGAGAAAAGUAAUGGAGAUCUCCAUUUUGGAGUUGGAAAUGGAGAUGGGUUGGAGCAAAUCUAACUCCAAACUUUAAUUUACAGAUGAAAAUGGAGAUGCCCUAAUACGUCACUAGUAAAUUGUUCAUCAAGCUGAGAGGUAAAGCUCUAAACUAUAUUCAUACUUUGUAAACAUCACUCUUAAUUUAUCAAUUAUCACCCCACCACUCAGUUUUGAGAUUUUCUUAUUGUUUGAAAACUUUGGCCAUGUUAAUUCACUUACUAUAAAUUAUAAACUUUUAAGAAAUUAAAUUUUGUAAACUCAAACGAUAAUGGGGUGAGGCAAUCAAUAGUGAAAAUUGUAACCAUUGUUAGUUGUAUCUUAUUAUUAUAUAAACCUUAGUUUUGAAAGUUGGUAAUACACAUAAUUGCGACAUGUAUUGAUGAGAAGUUUUACUAUAUAUGAAAACACUAUAAAGAAAUUAUACAAUUUUUACAUAAACUUAAAUAAAUAAUAAAGCCAAAAAUAUAUUAAAUCAAUUUAUAUAUAACAACCAACCCCCGCGUAACGGGGGUUAAUAACAUAUGUUUCUAAAAAAAGAAUUAUUUGUAAAUAAUAAAUAAAUAUUUCGGUAACUAAAAGAAUUAUACAAUUAAUUAAUAAUAUUGUAAAGCGAUGAUUAGAACAUGUUAGAUAAAGAUAUUUAAAAAAUAGAUAUACUUCUCUAACUAAGGAAAUUACAAAAAUUAGUAAUUUUAAAACAGAAGAAUUAAUUUUAUCUUUUCUUUUUUGCUAAAGAAUUGGUUUAAGAUUACAACCUCUGUGAUAUAUAGUUUAAUUGAUAAAUAGGGUUUUUAUAAAUUUGGAAAAUAUAACUUUGACCCCACAUAUAAUAAAUCAUGACAUCUAAAAUUUAUCAAUGGAAGGCUUAAUUGUACAAAGAAACAAAAAAUGAACGAUGGAGAAUGAAUGCAUGUGUAUUACAGAUUUACAAAGUACUAGAUAAGUACCCGUGCUAUACAGCACCGGAUUUU